RNAcentral lists this long non-coding RNA (74756 nucleotides) under Coffea arabica (coffee). Its description in RNAcentral is "long non-coding RNA (CARA_LNC001155)". The record is from RNAcentral. Lineage: Eukaryota; Viridiplantae; Streptophyta; Magnoliopsida; Gentianales; Rubiaceae.
UUCACAAGACUUCUUCGCCAAUGGGUUCCAACAAAGUCCAGGAGAAUUCAAUAUUUUUGACGUCAAUGUCACUCGCCAAGAUGUUCAGCGAUUUCCAGGACUCAACACUCUAGGGCUGUCAAUGAACCGAGUGGUUUUGAAGCCUGGAGGGCUGAAUGCACCCCACGUCCACCCUCGUGCAGCCGAGCUGGCUCUAGUCAUGGAUGGAAAACUGUUUGUAGGCUUUGUGACAACCGGAAACGUUUUCUACUGGAAAAUUGUGACUUCAGGAGAGUUGUUUGUGAUUCCUCCUGGGCUAGUGCACUUCCAACUGAAUAUUGGACACGAGAACGCACGCUUCUUCGCCUCGUUCAACAGUCAAAAUCCAGGGAUUCAGUUCGCCCCCCUUGCUCUUUUUAACUCCACGCCUUCGAUUCCUGAUCUCGUGUUGAGUAAAGCAUUUCAAGUAAAUCAAAGUAUCAUUGAGCUCAUUAAGUCUAGGUUUGCAACUGUGUCGACUGUGUCGACCGUGCUUAAGUCAUCUUACUAACAUCCUAUUCCAGGGUGUUGUUCAUUAUAGUUGGCAUAUUAAAUAAUAAAAUCUUCUAUAUUAUCGUUUAAUUGUAUUUUGGUCAAGUUAAUUUUUAGUAGUUUUAUUGGCGUCAAAUUAGGAUAGUUUUACUAUUUAGAAACUAGUAUUGUAUUAAGUAAUUUCCUAUGCUUGUCAGUAGUCAUGAUAUGUAUUUGGUUGGAAACAAUAAAAGUUUGAGUCUUGUCAUUGAUAUUAGUCCUCUUCAUGUAAAUUAGCCUCCAUAUAUAUAUAUAUAUAUAUAUAUAUAUAUUGGUUUUGCGAAAGUUAUCUCCUAUAAUUUUUUUUUGGGUAUAAUUAUUAGGCUCUACAUCUGGUAUCGAAUCCUAUUUGCAUGAAAUUAAUCUUUGGGUGAGUUGUCAGAGUUAGGACACAAGAAUUGCCGGGACUGUUCAAUUGAUCACGUAAGGCCAUUAUGUUGGUUUUGGAGUAUUUAAUUGGUCAAAAUUAGGCCAUAAAAUUGGUGUGAAAAUUAUUAACUUGAUUGUGGAUAUUGCUAAUGGUGACAGUUUUUGACAUGGUACGUAAACGCGGCACAAAAAAUCCUAAAUGAAACAUGAUACGGAAUAAUUUAUGUCAAAAAUGGAUCCACGCAAACAGAAUGGGUUGUAUUGGGCCAAUCCAUAGGUUGAUAUGACUAACAUGUUUUUGACACGUUAAGAAUUUUGAAAAAAUGCUACUUGCUUCCCUCCUAAUACUGCACUUAAAAUAAAUGGUUUUGUAUUAAAUUUUAUAGUUUAAGAACUAAAAUAAUAUAAUCAACCUCCUAUAAGAAUACAUAAACAACACAUAAAUCGAGACUCUGCAAAUUCACAUAUGCAACUGUUAUGAUUUUAAUUUUUUGCUUCCUUCCUUUAAUAUUCUUAUUUUCUCAAAUUGACAAGCAUAAACAACCUCUAUGAUUUUAACUUUUCACUUCGAAACUUACCUUUAGAUCAAAUAUUGCUCAAUUUUUCUUCCUUUCUUGUGAUUAAAUAUCUUUUCUAGGUAAACUUUAAUAUUUCACAAAUUUUCUAUCAUUUUUGUCUAUUUUAUUUGAACAUUUUCUAGUUUAUACUGCUCCUCUAUUUUAUCAUUUUCCCUAUCAUUUUCUUUCUAAAGUUUUUCUUUCUUGUGAAAGAAAAAAGAAAGAAAAACAAAAUAGGCUUUUUUCUGUAUAUUAUUAAUGAGAUAAUCAUGCAUCCAAAACUUAUACAAGUAAAAAUCCAAUGACAGGCUACAACUAAAUUAGAUUAAGAGAAUAUUACAUAUUUUCUUGAAAGAGAACCAUGUUUUAUUUUUCGGCAAUAUUUCUCCUAUAAUUUUGAUAUAAAAAGUUAAAUGAGUCAAUUGGGUCAAAACAUGAGAUGAACCUGUCCAAAUGUAUGGAGUAUUGCAGCAACAAAUCUUUUUGAAGAUUAAGAAUUCAAAUUUAUAUUAAUGAAAUUUACAAAUGAGAUUAUUAUUGCUGAACUUGAUUCAAUAGAGAGUUUGAUUUAAGGGAAACAAUGUUGGCAUAUUAAAUUAAAGCUAAAAAUUUGAAUUUUCUAUACUAUUAUUUAGUAGUAUUUUGGUCACACAAAUUUUUUUAGUAGUUCUACGAGAGCUAAGAUAUGGUAGUAUAUUUAAGAAUUGGAGGCUCUAGGACAUAGAGGUUCUGGGUUCAAAUCUCCAUUCCUCCUCCCCAUUUCUUAAAUCCUAUCUCUCCCCUUGAUUAGAAAAAGUUAAAAUAAUUAUUUAGAAAUUGGUACUGUAUUAGAUAAUUAUUGUAGCUAUCAAUACUUGUUUAUCAAAUCAUGUAAUCUGUAAGUAGAGUCAUAUUACCAUACCCACUUGAGAAGAUUGGAAGUUUAAUAGCCUUGUUGUUGUGGUGUUAUUAAUAUUUUAUUAUUAAUAUCAUUGUUCUUUUCUCACAUAUACGUGUAUAUGUGUAAAUUAGCCUCCCAUAUAUAUUGGGUUUGUGGAAUUUAUCUCUCAUAAUGAUCUUUUGACUAUAAUUGUCACGCCUCGUGCCUAGAACGUAGCACCACCACACCAUAGACAAUGCUAAAGGCGUAAGGCAACAAAUUUCCAAAGCAACUACAUUUACCUUUAUAUAAACUUUUUAAAUCCACAAAUACAAGAUCAUCUAUAACAGCAAUUUUGUGUCUUCCAAAAUAAAAGCAAGAUCAAACCUUCUACAAUAUGUACAAAAUUCAAAUCCUAUCAUAAGGUCUCUUAUAUAUAAGUACAAAAGUCAUCCUCUAACCCAAAGUCAUCUCCAUCUCCAUUACAACCCCCAAGAGCUAUCAAGGUCUACUUCAAUGAACUCAUCAUUAACUGCAUAAUUAUAACAAAGGGGUGAGCAAAAUCUCACUUAAUAAGUAGUGCAUGUAUCUCAUUAUUUGCCUGAGCAUGUUACAUACAUAAUAUAUAUUUCAAACGUCAUUAACUUACACAUAUAACUUUAUAAGAACAUGGUUACUAUAAACAUUUCAAUGGCAUAUCAUACAUCACACACACAAAGGAGCUCAAACCAUAAGACAACAAUUGACCCAGGAUAUCCAGUUGUUAACUUAAACUUAACCAGUUAACACAUUUCAUAGUGCUAACUACCACAUAGUUAGCCCAUUUCAUAUUGCUCACUACAACAUGGAUAGCUCGUUUCAUAUACCAACUACUUGUGAGGAACUAGUCCUGUCAAAAGUCGCUUAUACAAGAGCUCAACAAACAUAACAUUUCAUUUCACAAAUGACCAUAGCAAGAGUAAUAACAAAUAUCACAAAUUAUACUUGCUCAUGCCAUUUUAGCAAUUAGACAAGUAGCUUUCAAAAUUUAUCAUUCAAAAGAUAAAGGAUACAUGCACCAGUUACCUCGAUCCAAUCGAUACCCACGCUAUUUCAAGUAAUCGGAAAAAUAGCUACCUUCCUCACCUAGACAUAAUGAUAAAAUGUUCAAUUACAAUCUUAAAGAUACCAAACUACUCCAAAUUAUCAUAAAAACGAGCCUAAUACUACCCUUAACCACUAAUUCCUAAUAAAAGAUCAUUUCCUCAUCAAAGUAGGACAUAAGGGUUUACUUUAAAGGGUCACUAACUUCCAAAAAUACAGAAAUAGGUCAAGAGAUUUAUAUAGAGUUAAAGCCCUCUGAAUCUAGUUUCCAACGCAAUAAACGGCACCUAAAUCCGAAUUUUCUACACCAAGUUAUAUCCAAAGCAUUGAAAUAUGUCUAUACAGAAAAUUCAAUCUGUCCGAGAAUUAUAGCCAAUCCAUCCGAGGAUUUUAGCCAAUUCGUUCGAGGAUUAUAGCCAUGGAUUUCUAGCAAGUUUUCAAGGCAAAAACAAGUCAUUCUUUCCCUCAACAUUUCUCCUUUUUAUAUUGAUGAUAGCCCUACAUACCCAUUUGAAAAUGGAGACCAAAACAAACUCCAUACACCAUAGCCAUGGAAGCUAACCAAGGAUUUGAACCAAAUACUACCCAAUCACCCAAUCAAAGAAAACCAAGAUCAUGUUCAAGGUUUCAAGAAAAUACCUUGGUUAGUCGUCAAAGUAGAAUCUCCUAACUCCUCACUCCUUACUUGUGCUUGAUUUGUCAAGAAUCCUCCUUGAUUGUAAGGAAAAAGGAGAGAAAUAAGAAAGGGUUUUGUUGGAGAAGGAAGGAAAAAAGGAAAUGAAGAAGAUGAAGAAAGUUUUUGGUAAAAAUGAAUAGUGAAAUCCCAAUAUCACUUUUAUUCUUUCAAAAUUUCACAUAUUAACACAUUGGUCACUCAACUUAACGUCAUUCACUUUUCACCCCAAAAUAGUAUUUCUUCACACAAAAUUCUCUACAAGACACUUGGGUAUCACAUUCUCCCCCUCUAAUAAAAGUUUUGGCCUCGAAAUUUAACGUACCUCGUUGGUUAAACAAAUGUGAAUACUUAGUUCGCAUUUCCUCUUCGAGUUCCCAAGUAGCUUCACGAGUACUAUGAUUGGACCAUUGAACUUUAACAUAGGGAAUUGUCCUUCUUCUUAGCACUUGAUCUUUACAACCCACAAUUCGAAUUGGCUUCUCACUAUAAGUUUAAUCCUCUCAUACCAUUAAUGGCUCAUACUCCAGGAUAUAACUUGGAUUAAAUACAUAUUUUCUCAAUUGCAAAACAUGAAAUACAUUGUGAACUCUUGAUAAAGAUGGUGGCAAGGCUAACUUGUAUGCCAAUUCUCCAACUCUAUCCAAAAUUUCAAAAAGCCCAACAUAUCUUGCACUCAGUUUUCCACGUUUCCCAAAUUGCAUGACACCCUUCAUUGGUGAAAUUCUAAGAUAUAAUUUAUCCUCUUCUUGAAACUCUAAUGGUCUUCUUUUCAAAUCGGCCCAACUCUUUUGUCUAUCUUGUGCUGUUUUCAACCUUUCUCUCACUAGUGCCAUCUUCUUGAUUGUAGCUUGUACACUUCCUCCCAUAUAGAGCUUCAAAAGCUAGCAUGCCGAUACUACUAUGAUAACUGUCAGUGUAAGAGAACUCACUUAGCACCAGAGAAUCCUCCCAACUGCCCCCAAAAUCCAUAACACAUGCUCUAAGCAUGUCCUCCAAGGUUUGAAUUGUACGCUCUGAUUGCCCGUCAAUUUGAGGAUGAUAAGCUGAGUUGAGGUUUAACUCGGUUCCUGUGGCUUGUUAGAGACUUUUCCAAAAUCGAGAGGUGAAUCUAGGAUACGAUCAGACACAAUACUCACUGGGACACUAUGAUAACGAAUAAUGCAAUCCAUACAGAGAUUAGCCAAAGUAUCCAUAGAUGCAGUAGCAACCAUAGGUACAAAAUGAGCUGAUUUUGUCAGUCGAUCAACUAUUACCCAAAUGGUGUCAUUACCUCUCCUAGACCUUGGUAAUCCAACAAUGAAAUCCAUUGCUAUAUGCUCCCAUUUCCAUUCCGGUAUUGUCAAAGGCUUUAAUAAUCUAGCAGGUCUUUGAUGUUUGGCCUUUAUUUGUUGACAAACUAAGCAUUUAGACACAUAAUUCGCGAUCGCCCUCUUCAUACCACUCCACCAAUACGACUGCUUUAAGUCUCGGUACAUCUCAGUGUUAUUAGGAUGAAUAGAGGCUUGGAAGAGCAAGCCUCCGCCAUUAUUUCUUUUCGUAACUCCGGAUCUUUAGGCACCAUAAGCCGAUUCCACAUCCAUAUACUACCAUCCUUGAGUAGUUGAAAGUCGGGUAAUUCCUCACUUUUAACUUUUUCCUUGAUUUUUGCCAACUCGGUAUCAUCUUCUUGAGUUUCCUUGAUUCUCGAAAUUAAAGAUGGUUAGGCAACUAGAGUUGCGAGCACAUGCAUGAAGGAUUCUACGACCUCUAAAUUCAAUUCCUCCAUUUGUUUGACAGGUGCCGAACCUGUACAAUAAUAAUAAUAAAACCUAACUACCACCAAAAGCAAUCAAUAAUCAAUUCUAAGUACUGGAGCAGGGACUUUAGGUAUGCAAUGAGUUACUUGAUUCACCCUGUUGCUGAAGAGUUUGCUGAAUCCGAUAUACCAAAAUUAAUUAGCUAACUAAAUUUACUAACUAGUAGACAAUGGCAAGCAGGGUCGUCUCCUUAGGGGCUGGAGAGAAAUUUGUUUCUUUUAAGCCAAGACAAACAGAGGGUUUGAAAAUUAGAUGCUAAAGAAUCACUAACUAAACAAAUUAAAUGCAAAAAAUAAUUAAUUGAGAGAAAUAAUUGGAGAAACUCUAGCCAAGGGUGCACUUCAGAAAUGGUUCAUGCAACUGAUCAUCGAUUCAAAUAUAAUUCCAACAAUUAUUAAUAUAUUAGUUAUAGUUGUUAUGCACGCGAUAAACAACCAGCAUUUCCUUAAUUUCUCGAUAGUUAAGGUACAACCGUUAACUAUUUCUCUAACCAAAAAACAACCCUAGGUACGACCGUAGGAUUUAAUUUCUAGUUUGCAUUAAGAUUUAGAAAAGCCCAAUCCUAACUACCAAACACGCUACGAGGGUUUGUUUAAGUUAGAUCGUAUGUUUUCCUGACAUAAACCCAAUUACGCCAGUUGCUACCGAGAUGGAGGUAAUCAAACAAUUACGGAUUCAACUACCCCCAAUUAGCAAAUUAACUACGUGAAUAACUAAAUAUUGCGCACUAUUCAGUCAUACACAAUAGCUAUGACAAUUAAAGGUAGAAAACAUACAAAUACUAAUAAAUGAAGGAAACAGUUAAAACAAUUUAGAUCUCACAGUUAUUGUUGAACCAAAUUUUCAAUUGUCUCCUUGACUAGAAGUGGGUGAUUUGUUCAUCCUCAUUGAGAGUAACUCACGCAAUUCCAUCGAAGGAAAUUGCGUCAAUGUUUGACAAUAGAAGAACUACUCAGAGGAGAAGAGAGCCAAGCGGCUGCCUUCCUCCCCUUUUCUUAUUCCCUGGCCGAGUAGUAAUCACGCGGGAUCCGGCUUUUGUUCUUCCUAUUUUCUAGCUUUCUAAAAACACAUUGAACUUCCUCCCUCACAAUCCGUAGUAAAUGAUUCCAAAAAAAUCUCCUACUAUAGGAAAACUAACUUCCUAAAAGAUAGGUACUCAAGCGCUUAAAAGUCUCCUAAACCAACCCAAUUACUAAUUAGAAACUUGGCAAAUAAUAUCAUCUUCCAAUUAUGAUGACGACUCCCACUUGGAUUAGGAUACUGCCCGGCAUAGAAUCCCGCGCACUCCAGACUUGAUUGAUGUCUUCUCACGCGUCCACACUUUCUUGGAGGAAAAUCUUCUAAAAACUGUUAUUUCUGCACUUUCUUUCUCCAAUUGGCUAAACAUCCCCUAAACAUAAAAUUCAAACAAAAUAUGUCCAUUAAUGCAAUAUCCAAUCCAAUAAGAAAAGGAAAUUAUAAGAAAAUUAAUGCUAAAUUAGCGUUCUAUCAUUGUUUUACUAACAUAACUGCUAUCAUUCCUGAAAUUUUCCUGCUCAAAGCAUCAGCAACCUUGUUUGCUUUUUCUGGAUGAUAACUAAUGGUAAGAUCAUAAUCUUUCAUUAACUCAAGCCAUCUUCGUUGUCUCAUGUUUAGCUCUUUCUGCGUGAACAAAUACUUUACGCUUUUAUGAUCUGUAAAGACUUCACAUUGCUCCCCAUACAAGUAGUGCCUCUAAAUCUUCAAGGCAAAAACAAUGCCUGCCAAUUGCAAAUCAUGUGUAGGAUAGUUGUGUUCAUACCGCUUCAAUUGACAAGAUGCAUAAGCUAUGACCUUCUCAUUUUGCAUUAGCACACAUCCCAACCCAUUUUUGGAUGUAUCGCUAUAAAUAGUGAAACCUCCAGAUCUAGAAGGUAAGGUGAGAACUGGUGCCGAAACAAGCUUAUUCUUUAAUUCUUGAAAACUAUUUUAACAUUUAGGUGUCCACUCAAACUUAACAUGCUUUUGAGUUAAACAACUCAAGGACAAAGCAAUAGUAGAAAGUCCUUCAACAAAAUUUCUAUAGUAGCCAACUAAGCUCAGAAAACUCCUCAAUUCUACCACAUCAGUAGGUCGGGGACAAUCCACAAUAGAUUCUAUCUUCUUAGGAUCCACAAAGACACCAUCUUGAGAAAUAACAUGCCCAAGGAAGGACACACUUUGAAGCCAAAAUUCACAUUUGUUGAGUUUUGUAUAAAGUUUCUCACGCCUCAAGAUUUGUAAAACAUCUCGCAGGUGAUUUUCGUGCUCUGCUUCACUUGGAGAGUACACCAAUAUAUCAUCAAUGAACACCACCACAAAUCGGUCUAAUUGCUUUUUGAAUAUCCUAUUCAUCAAAUCCAUAAAGGCUGCAGGAGCAUUAGUCAACCCUAAAGGCAUGACGAGAAAUUCAUAAUGGCCAUACCUUAUUCUAAAUGCACUCUUUGGAAUAUCUUGCAGUUUAAUCCUUAAUUGAUGGUAUCUGUAAUGAAGAUCGAUUUUUGAAAACACCUUAGCCCUUUUAAAUUGAUCAAACAGGUCGUCAAUACGAGGCAAUGGAUACUUGUUCUUGAUCAUAAUUUUAUUGAGCUCCCAAUAAUCAAUGCACAAUUGCAUACUUCCAUCCUUCUUCUCUACAAAUAAAACUGAUGCACCCCAAGGGGAUACACUUGGUCGAAUCAAUUUCUUGUCAAGCAACUCCUGAACUUGAACUUUAAGCUCCUUCAACUCUGUGGGGGCCAUCCGAUAGGGUGCCUUAGAUAUAGGUUCUAAGUUGAGUAUUACAUUAAUCUCAAAAUCAAUUUCUCUCUUGGGAGGUAGACCUAAUAAGUCAUUUGAAAACACAUCUGAAAAUUCUCUUGCAAUUGGGAUAUCCUCAAGUUUUAUCUCUUUCUUACUAGAGUCUACUAUAUAAGUCAGAAAACAUUCACAUCCCUUCCUAAUUGCUCUCCAAGUUUGUAUGGCAGAUAAAAUGGGUAGAGACUUCUUCUUUGGUUUUCCUCAACACCCUUGAAAAGAUAAAGGUGGAAUGUUUGGGGUUUAAAAAUCAACACUUUUACACAUACAAUCUAUAUGGGCAUAAUUUUGUGAUAGCCAAUCCAUACCUAAGAUAGCAUCAAAUUAUAUUCAAUUACACUAGAUUUGCCUUAAACUCUCUCCCACCUAAAUCUAAAGUACAACCUUCAUACAUAAGGUGAGAAACUAAAACUUUUCCCCCGGGAAUGGCUACACGAUACGGGUCAUCCAAAACACAGGGUUUAAUAUCUAACUCUCAUGCAAACUUCUUUGAAAUGAAAGAAUGGCAAGCCCCACAACCAAAUAACACAUCCGCUGGAAGAGAAUUAAUCAUUUCCAUACUUGUCACAACAUCCUCUACUCCUGCUGCUUCUUGUUCAGUCACCUUAGAGAUUGUGUAAGGUCGAUCUGCACUAGAAUUCAAGCUAUUUCCUAGCCUAUUGUUGCCUCUAGUUUGCUUAGAAUUCGGGCAAUUACUCACUUUAUGCCCCAUUUCUCCACAACUAAAACAAGCUCCCGUUUUCCACCUGCAUUCUCCCGAAUGAACCCGAUGACAAUAAUCACACAACUUAGAUGGGUUAGUAGGUAGAUACCUUGGAAAAGGUUGUUGAGAAGAAUUAGCCUAUUGCGAAACUAUAGGUCUUGGUAACGGUGCUUGUCGGGGAGGUUGCAUUGGUCGAAGAGGUUGCAUUACACGAGAAGGCUAACCAUGUUGACGAAGUUGGCCUUGCAUUACGAUUUAUCUAUUUCUCCUUUGUCUCGUCUCUUCAUCCUCCUGAAGAAUGUCUUGUUCAACAUCUAAACUAGCUUCAUACAUUUGGUCACAAUUGGCAUAGAAAUUUUCAGAUAUUUUUGAUUGAAUCUGACUAUUCAAUCCUCCCUUAAAGGAGACCAUCUUCAUAGUCUCAUCGGCCAUUGUAGAAGGGACGAAGCAUCCCAAGGAGAGAAAAAUAGUGUUACUCACCCACAGACAUGGAACCUUGAUUAAGGUUAUUGAAUAUUCGAAUAUUUUGAACUCGAAUAGCUGGUGGAAAGUAAUGCUGUAGAAACAUCUUUUUGAACUCAUCCCAUGUCAAAGUACAACCUGAAGAAACCAUGGUCAGGGCUACACCAUCCCACCAUUUCUCUGCUUCACCAAGAAAGAUGUCACUACUUGAGGUCGAAUAUCUUCUGGCACCAUCAUAGUUUGGAAUUUGUUCUCAAUUUGGGAUAACUAUCUCUCUGCCACAUUCAAGUUUGGACCUCCAUCAAAAGUAGGCAAAUAGACCUUGCUAAACUCCUUGAAAUGGUACUUAACACUAACCCAUACCUUGCUCUCUUUCUUCUUGUUGUUGUUGUUGAUAUUGCUGCCAUCCAUGCAUGAACUAAUAUGCCACAGAUAAGGUAGUUGGAUCUAAUUUUAUUAUGACACCCAAACUUUUGCAUUUUAGCCCCAUAUGUGGUAAACUAAUUUCAUUAACUCUACCAUGACAUCUUAUCUUUUAUAAUUUAGUCUCGUAUAUGAUAAAUCGAUAUCAUUAAUUCUAUUAUGGCACCCUAUCCUUUGCACUUUAUCCUAUGUUUUUUUCAUUAGCAAAAUGCGGAAGGUAUUGUAAUAAAAAAAUGUAUAUAUAUUUUAUAAUUGAUCCAAAUUUAGUUAAUAACUUGGUAUAAAGUUAAAAAAUAUCAUGGAUUCCCUAUCCAGUUCUCUUGACAACACCUAGAAAAUUAUUGAUUAGCAUAGUAGGAAAACAAUGGCAAAGAAGAAUAAAUUUUAAUAUGAAAUUAAGUAAAGUCUUGACAAUUGGAUGGCUAGAGUUUAUUAUUAAUUACACUAGUCACAUUGUUUAUGGUUUAUGAAUCAGUACUUGUACUAAAUACAUUUAGUGUUUCAUGCAUGUAUUAGCAAACUAUUUUGGUUAUUUGAUCAACUAAACAUAUUGUUAGGUCUUGUCAGACCAUAAUUCGUACAUAAUUGACAAAAUUAUUAAAUUAAAACAAAAAAUAUUUACAUUAAAAGAUUUUUUUUGAAUCAUAAACAUAUUUUUAAUAAGCUUUUUAGUUUUUGAACAUUAUUUUUUUGUAGAGAUAAAAAAACCUAUGUUAGUAAAAAAAAUUAUCAAAAAACACUAAAUUUUCAUAUUCUAAAAUUUUAAUACAACAAAUAAAGUUUUAAUAUAACUUGUGAGCUAACAACUCAAAAUAAUAACCAAUUUUAAUUACACAGAGAUGGGGGAAAAAAGAGAGAUAUUAGAGAAGGCAUUGUUUUUGUAAAGAAAGGUCCAAAUAGUUUGUAUAAAAGUCACUUGAAAGUGUUAUUUUUUGGCUGAAGCUAAAAUGGAAGCGGGAAUUGAAAAUUGAAAGAGUAGAGGCGGGUGAACAAAAGAAGCAGAAACGACGUCAUUUUAGCAAGAGUUAAACAAAAACACUCAUAACACUUAGAAAAAUUUCGGACAAAACUUGCUUUCCCCCUUCUUGCCAACUUCGGACACUACAUCUUCUCCUUCUCUCCAUUAUCAUCUUGCUGAAAUUAUCCAGAAAAUCAUUUUAACCCAUCAUUUUCAUCCGUAAUUUCAGCUACCCAAAAGAUUUGGGCAGCUUUAGUGGAGUUGUAGAUAGCAAAAAUCCUUAAGUCGGGGUAGCACUUGCUUGCUGGCAAGAACACAGAAAAUUGACCAUGAAUUUUUGGGGAAAGCCAAAGUUUGAAGACUGAAUCUUAAGGAAACAAGAGCUAAGGUUGUCACAGCAUAAUUUGAGGUAAAUAAUCUGUUACAUUUUUCCAUCUAGUUUCGAUAUUUUCUGUCAAAUGUAGGUCGAGUGAGCUGAAUCUUGAGUUUAUGGGCCCAAUCUUCCACUUUAAUCUUUCAAUGGUGAGGGAUUGAGAGAGUUUUGAAAGUGAAACAAAGUGAAAGGGAAGCUAUCCUUUGUGAACUGUCCAGACCCCCUAAGAAAAUUCAUGUUUGAAUUUUGGAUGUGGAAAUUUUACUUGUAGCGAACUAUUUUUCUGAGUUUGAUAUGUUAAAAAUUGAAACAUUUUUGUGUAGUUGAUAGCGAUUUAUUAUAAUUGUUGGAGAAAGUUAAUAACAUGUGCUGUUUUUUAUGUAAUUUUUCAGUUCUAAUUCUAUUUGUAAGAGUAGCUACAUAUUAUAAUGGCUUACAUACAACUGAUUUUGAGGUAAUAGUGCUUUAAUAUUCUAUAAGUCAAGUAUCCUUUUGGGAGCCAAUUCGAUAUUUAGUUUCUAAGAGCUUAGAAGAAAUUUUGAUCAGUUUGGCGACUUCUAGAUAUUGAGGGAAUGAGAAGCUAUGCAAAGCGAGUGGAUUAUGUUGUUGGUAAGUGGAAGUGAGGCAGAUUGUAUAAUCUUAACUUAUGGCCUUUGACUUUAGAAGUUAACUGUAUAAACUUACCAUUACCACACACUAAUUAGACAUUGUUUACUCUGAUGUGGAGAAACAAACUCCUAAAUUGAUAAAUUCAUGUUAUUGUUAUGAUUGUUUUAUUGCACAUUAUGGUGUUAGUGUUGCAGUAGAGUUUACUAUGGCUUUUUAAGAUUCCUCCCUAUUGAAUUAGAGUUUUUGACCUGGAUUUACCAACUGAACGUGAAAGAUUCUGCAACAAAUAAAUGUUAGCUUUGGAGUAGAAAAGCAUUGUUGUCCACCCUGUAGUUGUAUUUGUUAGAGAAGUUAUUAAGGGGACCAAGAAUAAGCCAAUCUGUAAUGGCUUAUACAGUUAAAUAAGCCAUUAUGAAUAAAGUAGUAGUUUAGCCAUUACAAUCUGUAAUGUCAUCUGCACAUUAAUGCUUUUGCAUUGUAAUGAGAAAGUGGACUCUAUUUUGAAAAUUAUGCACUAUGUUUAAGUUUGGAGCAGCAUUAACUCAUUAUUCUGCGGCAAAUGUCUUAUACAUUUGCACGGGUAAUUAGCUCUUCAAUGCAUGUUUACUUGCUAUGUAGAGACAUUUUCACUCUGAAAUGCAACCUAAUCUGUGAUGUUUGCUUGUAAGAGAGGUGCUGCAUGUUUAUUUGAAGAGUAUAGUGCUCAAACUCGCUCAAACGAUGACUAAUGAUAGUGGUGUUUCUGACAUAAUACAUGUAAGUGUACUUUGAAACUUCUUAUUAAUUAACUCUAAAGAUUUUGAAGCUAUUCUGUGGCAUGUCAUCUUAGACAAGUUGUGUUUGACUUUGAUAUGAUUCAUAGCCUCCAAAAGAUGUGGAUUCCAAUUUGGUCUGGUUUGUUGGAGUCUCAAGAUUCUCCUAACUUCAACUUUUAUUUCUUUCCCUUUUUUCUUUGGCUUCUUUAUAUGGAAUUUUUUUGUAAAGUUAUUUUAUUGAGCAACCAAGUUAAUGCCGCAUCAAAGAUUUCAUUGGCAAGUUACUUAUUAAGUUACUAGCAGGCAUAACUGUGGCGUUGCGCGGUGGAUUAGAUAGCAUGUAUGCCUAUUUAGGUAUGAAUAAAUAGACAUUACAUGAAUAGUGAUAAUGUCACGGAAUUAAACAUCUUUUUUUUCAAUACGGAAUUAAAUACCUUGUGGUUACAUUAUCUAAGUUUUAUUUGUUUAGAUCCAUAUUCCGCGCUAAUUAAUCAUUAAUAUAUCCAUGAACGUCUAGAAGAAGGUAAGCAUUUAAUCGAAUUAAAAUUUAAUAAUAAUAUAAAAACAAUAUAGAAAGCAAUAUAACUUUGGAGAUCAAGAAUGUAAAUUUAAAAUUUAUGAUAGACAGAAUAAGGGGUAGAAAUUGGAACUCAAAACAAGGUUAAUUCUAUUUAAGGCAUUUAGAAGUACCAAACCAGAAAUUGGCACACUGCAUCGGACAAAAGCAAUUGCAUUAAUGAUUUGGAGUCUACUUACAUAAUAUUUAGAUCCUGAACAGGCAAUGCUAAGGGUACAUAAUUUCUAUAUGUUAAUCUCAGUUCUUAGCUUUUGAUGAUUACAAAACAAAUGGAUGUUGCUAAUAUCUCCUCAAAGACCUUUUUAGAAAUGAAGCAAAUUAGGUUCAAAGAUGAACCUGUUGUUGAAGCUGUCGGACACACAAAAAAACUGGAUCAGACGUUCGACAAUCAUUGAACAACUUCGGAUGUAUAAUGAACUCCAUUACCGGACAUCCGAAAGAAAUCAAACACCUCCUUAAGUUCACUGACCUCGAUCGGACGUAGAACAUUAAAGCACCGGACGUCCACAGAAUUGAAGAAGGAUUCUCAAACUUUACCAUCUGCUUUCGGGGGCAAACUUUGGAGGUACCGGACGUCCGAAAGAAUUAAAGAAAUUUUUUCUUACUCUCUGCCUGCUGUCGGACACAAGAAACAAGACUACCGGAUGUCCGACACUACCAACGGUUAGUUGAUUUUUCAGCUACCUUCUAUUCGUUAGAAGCUUAAAUGAAGGAAUUUUUUGGUCUCCUAUCAAUAGAGCAAAGUCAACCACUUCAAAUUACUUUUGCUCAUUGAAACUACAAAAGAUCGAGAGCAAUUUUAGUGAGAAAAUUCUCUUCAAAGAAGAUUUGUACUCUUAGUUGUGUAGAUUUCGUACAAGCUUUUCUUGUGUGAGAAAAUUACUUCAAUAGUGUAGCUUUGUAAGGGUUAUCCGAGUGAUAAUAAAACUUGCUAACUUGACCAAGUGUGGUUUGGAGCAAGGAGAAAGUGAUCCUUUUUUUGUGCACAUAGAUUGGUUGUAAUUGAUUAACUUGAAGAAACUUACUCUAUAAAGUGAUAUUCAAACUCAAGAGGAGUUUGAAAUUUGGUUUGCUAUUCUAUCUCUUUUAUUUACUAUACUGCAAUAUAAAUUGUUCAUCUCUUCUACUCACGGACAUUUGUACUUUCUCAUUAUUUGUUCCAUUGUAUGGUCAUCUAGAAAGAGGGUAAAUUUCAUAUUCAACCAAAAAGUGUCUCAUAAUUUGGUUAGUUUUUAAUUUACCUAAUUCACCCCCGUCUUACGUUGUUUUCGAUCCUUACAAUUGGUAUCAGAGUUUGGUCUCCUAGAGAUUAAGCUCAAUCGGCUUUGGAAUAAAAAUGACAACCAACAAUGCCAUGUUUUUUGAAGGAUAAUCUGUCACUAGACCCCCAAUGUUUAAUGGAUCCAAUUAUGUGAAUUGGAAGGAAAGAAUGAUUAUGUUCUUGUAAUCUAUUGAUAUUGAACUAUGGUUUAUUGUUAAUGAAGGUUCAUUUGAAUAACUCUACAAUUGAUGAAGCCACUCAUAGACUAAGACCAAAAAUCAGAAAUGAGUUGACUGCUGAGAAUAAAUCUCAUCUCACCUUGAAUACCAAAGGUAUGAAUGUGUUGUAUAGUGCUUUAGAUUCAAAUGAGUCUAUUAGAGUCAAAGGUUGCCGAUCUGCAAAAGAAAUUUGGGAUAAACUAAGAGAGAUCCAUGAAGGAAGUGAGAAUGUAAGAGAAUAAAAGAAAUCAAUCCUAGUUAUUAAGUAUGAAUCAUUUAAGAUGGAACCUUAUGAAAACAUUGAUAAGAUGUAUUGUAAAUUCAAUGAUCUCAUUAAAGAUUUAGAGGUGCUGGAAAAUGAAUACACCUUAGGUGAGAAAAAUAGAAAGAUUUUGAAUGCACUGACCAAAGAUUGGGAGAGUAAAGUGACUUCCAUUGAAAAAGCUAAAGAUCUAAAUACUAUGUCUAUUGAAUCUCUCAUUAAUUCUCUAACUUCUUAUGAGUUGAACCUUAAGUCUAAGGUACAAGAGGAGGAAGAUGCAAAAGUGAGAAGGAGCAUUGCUCUAAAAACUUCUCAAGAUGAAGAUGAUUCAACUUCCUUAGAUGGAGAUAAUGUAGAAGUUGAUGACAAUGAUCUUGCUCUUAUCACAAGGAGUUUUAAAAGAAUCCUCAACAAAAGGAGAUUUAGAAGAAGAGGACCUAGCAAUACAUUUUCUAAUCAGUUCAAUAAUUCAAGAAACAAAGGAAAAUAAGAGACUAAUAAAAAGCAAGCAGACAAAUACUUUGAAUGCGGCCAACUUGGACACUACAUGAGUGAGUGUCCAAUGAAGAAGAAGAAAGAAGGAAAAGUUGAACGAAAAUCAAAGUUCAACAACUUUCAAAUUACAUGGAAUGAUUGUAACUCAGAUGGUGAUAUCGAAGAGAAAGAGGAAUCUGCUCAAAUGGCUUUCAUGGCCAUUGAUGAUGAUGAGGUAACUACUUGCAACUGUCAACCUGUUGGUGAUGAUGAAUCUAAAGAUGAUGUUGAGUCUUUCAUUGAGAGAUUGCAUAAUAGCUUAAAAGAAUCGUAUGCUAGAAACAAGGAACUAAAAUAGAAAAUUAAUUUUUUGAUUCAAAACAAUGCAAAUCUUUUUCGACAAAACAAAAUGCGGAAAGCUGAAAAUGACUGCUUGAAAAAGGAUGAAAAUGUUCUACUUUUUGAGCUUGAUAGAAAAACAAAGCUGUGUGAAUUGUUCAAAAAGGAACAAGGUGACUUGAAAAGAAGAAUGGAUGGCCUAGAUAAAUUGCUUAAACAUACGAAACAAGACUGCUUUCAAAAGAGUGAAUCAAAACCUCACUUUGACAUUCACAAGAAAAGGUUGAACUCUAAUGCAAACGAAUUUAACAUCUAUAAAAGAAGGUAAGUUAGAUUUAUUAAACCUGUCUUUGUAGGAAACUCACUGACUAUGUGUAGCUUUUGUUGUCAAGUUGGUCACAUGAAAAAUAAUUACUAUGUAAGAAAGAAUAUGAGAAAUGACAUGAAAUGCAUGUGGAUAGUUAGACAUAAUGUUAACUCUCAAGGACCCAAAAAGUAGUUGGGUACCAAAUAUCAUCUUGUGAACUUUUGUGUAGGUGAGAUUGGUGAAUGUUAUUAAAGAAUCAAAAUGGUUCAUAGAUAGUAGAUGCUUAAGGCAUAUGACUGGUGAUCCCUCACAGUUCAUCAAACUCAAGUCAAAAUCAAGUGGAAAAGUAACAUUUGGACAUGAUAACAAAGCCAAAACAGUUGGAGUUAGAGAUGUUGGUAAGAAUGGCCAAACUUUUGUUCACAAUGCUCUUCUAGUUGAUAAUCUGAGUUAUAAUUUGUUGAGUGUUAGUCAAUUGUGUGACAGAAAUCUGUUUGUGCUAUUUAAAAGGCAUGAAUAUCUUAUUCUUGACUCAAAAUUUAACAUUAUUUUCAAAGAAAAAAGAGUGAAUGACAUUUAUGUAGUUAUUCUAGAAAAUAUUGAUUCUUUCAUCCUUAAAUGUCUUAAAACUGCAGAUGAGGAUCUUUGGUUGUAACAUAGAAGAUUUUGUCACUUCAAUAUAAAUUUGUUAAAAAAAAUUUCAAAAAAGAACUUGUUAGAAAUUUAUCAAAAAUUAACUUUGAAAAAGACAAAAUUUGUGAUGCUUGUCAAAUUGGAAAACAAGUAAAAGUUUCUUCAAAUCUAAGAAUUGUGUUUCUACUUCAAAACCACUGGAUCUUUUACAUCUUGAUUUAUUUGGUCCUACACAAAUUGCUAGUUUGGGUGAUAAAAUAUAUUAUUUGAUUAUUGUUGAUGAUUAUUUUAAAUACACUUGGGUUAUAUUUCUUGCUCAAAAGGAUGAUACUUUCAAAAGUUUUGUUUCAUUAUUUGCAAAAGUUCAAAAUCUGAUUGGAUUGAAAAUUAUCAAGAUUAGAAGUGACAAUGGCUCGGAAUUUAAAUUUUGUGGUUUUCCAGAAUUUUGUGAUAACAAUAGAAUCACAAUGAGUUUUCAAUUGCUAGAACUCCUCAACAAAAUGGUGUUGUUGAAAGAAAAAAUAGAACUCUUCAAGAAACCGUACGAACUAUGUUAAAGUGAAUGUAACUUACUAAAAUAUUUUUGGGCCGAAACCGUUAAUACCACAUGUUAUGCUAUGAAUAGAGUUCUUUUGAGACCUAUUUUAAACAAAACCUCUUAUGAGUUAAUGUUUGAUAAAAAGCCAAUUGUUAGUUAGUUCAAAGUUUCUGGUUGCAAAUGCUUUAUUUUAAAUAUCAAGAAACACUUUGGAAAGUUUGAAAAGAAAUCUGAUGAAGGUAUUUUUUUGGGAUAUUGUGAUAACAAAAGAGGCUUUAGAGUCUAUAAUAGAAGGACUCUUGUUAUUGAAGAAGCUAUACAUGUCACCUUUGAUGAAUCUAAUGAUAAUAUUUUCAAAAGUAGUUGUGAGGAUGAUGAUGUAGGUGUCCAAGAAGGACUCAAGAAACUCACAAUUCAUGAUCAAAACGAUACUCCACAAGAAGAGAGCUCAAAAAAAGAUAAUCCCCAAGAUAGUCAAGCAUUAGAAGAAAAUGACAAUCAUGGUGAUGCACCUAGGAAUCUUCCAAAGGUUUGAAAGUUUGUUCAAAAUCAUCCUAAGGAAUUCAUUAUUGGUUAUCCAUCCGAAAAGGUAAGAACUCGUUCCUCUUCAAAACAAUUGAUGGACAAUUUUGCUUUGGUCUCACAUUUUGAACCAAAAAAUAUUAUUGAUGCAUUGAAAGAUGAAAACUGGAUUUUAACUAUGGAAGAGGAACUAAAUCAAUUUGAAAGGAACAAGAUGUGGACAUUAGUUGAAAAAUCUCAUGAUCAUCCUAUUAUUGGCACAAAAUAGGUGUUUAGAAAUAAAAUGACUGACAAAGGUGAAGUGGUGAGAAAUAAGGCUAGACUAGUUCUUAAGGGGUAUGCUCAAGAAGAAAGAAUAGACUUUGAUGAAACAUUUACUCCCAUAGCAAGACUAGAAUCUAUUAGAAUGUUUUUGGCAUUUACACGUUUCAAGAAUUUUAAAUUAUUUCAAAUGGAUGUUAAAAGUACUUUCUUAAAUAGUUUUAUUGAUCAAGAGAUAUAUGUUGAUCAACCUCCCGGUUUUGAGAAUGAAAUGUUUCCAAAUCAUGUGUUUAAACUCUUAAAAACUUUGUAUGGUUUAAAACAAGCUCCAAGAGUAUGAUAUGAAUGCUUAAGUGGUUUCUUGAUUGAAAAUGGUUUUGAAAGGGGCAUUAUAAACACCACUUUUUUCACCAAACGAUGUUCCAAUGAUCUACUAAUUGUGCAAAUAUAUGUUAAUGAUAUUAACUUUGGUGCUACUAAUGAGUAUUUGUGUAUGAAUUUUUUCAACUAUUAUGCAAAAAGAGUUUGAGAUGAGCAUAAUGGGAGAAUUGAAUUUUUUUCUUGGGUUUCAAGUGGAACAAACUCGAGAAUAAACAUUCAUUAAUCAAGCUAAAUACACCAAGGAACUGCUCAAAAGGUUCGGUAUGGAGGAAUCAAAACAAGUUGGAACACCAAUGUGCACAUCUAUCAAACUUGACAAGGAUGAAGGAGGUAUAAAUGUUGAUGAAAAGAAGUAUAGAGGUAUGAUUGGCAGCUUACUUUAUUUAACUGCAAGUAGACUUGAUAUCAUGUUUGCUAUUUACUUGUGUGCUGGUUUCCAAUUUUGUACAAAAGAAUCUCACUUGCUUGCUGUGAAAACAAUUUUUAAAUAUUUGAAAAGAACAUUGAACUAUGGUCUUUGGUAUCCUAGAUGUCAUGAAUGUCCUUUAUAUGGUUUCUCGGAUGCUGACUUUGGUGGAUGUAGAAUAGAUAGAAAGAGUACUAGUAGUACAUGCCACUUUCUAGGUAAUUGUUUAGUAUUUUGGUUAAGUAAGAAAUAAAAUCCUAUUUCAUUGUCUACGGCCGAAACGGAAUAUGUUACCACUAGUGCAUGUUAUACUCAAUUGAUGUAGAUGAAAAGUACCUUGAAUGAUUUUGGAUUAGUAUAUGAUUGUGUGCCUGUGUGUUGUGACAAUACAAAUGCGAUAAAUUUGACAAAAAAAUCUCAUUCAACAUUCUGGGAUAAAGCAUAUUGACAUAAAGCAUCAUUUCAUUAGAGAUCUCCUCCAAAAAGAUGAAAUUUGUGUGCAAUAUGUUUGUUCAAAGGAUCAAAGUACUAACAUUCUCACAAAAGCCCUUUCACUAGAUCAGUUUAUAUUUUUAAGAACAAAAUUGGGUAUUAUUGAAAAGUUUUUUUGAAAAAUUAUCUGGUCACACUUUAUCAAACGUCUGACAGUGUUCUUGAUCACUUUUCCAGAAAAUUUGGUUUUGGACGAUAGUGUCGGACGCUUCACUUCGUUCAACCGUCCAACACUCUAAAUAUGCUUGUUAUAAGUCAAUUUUCUCCUUCAUUCAGUUUAUUUUCUAUCCGUUAUAUCAGACGCAACUUCUCAUCCUCUCCUAUUUUCAAAUUUCAAAAUUCGUCUAUCUUCUGAACAAGUUCCAAGAAAUUAAUUAGUUCAAAGCCUUUACACUCUUUUUACCCGUUCAUAACCCCUCAUAACUUCCUCUAACUGCCAACUGGUCUAUAAAUCCCAAUUUUCACCCGAAACCCUAGUCACUCAAAAGUCACUCUCUCUGGAUGAUUCAAGCCCUCAUUAUAAUUAAUACCGCAUUUUUAGUCAGUCUCAUACAUAUUUGCAUCAUUCUCCAUAACAAAAACAAUCUGCAUUUCAUCAUGGUAAGAAUUAGGGGAGGAUCUGUCAGUGCAAGACGCACCACCAGGUUCAGGUUGAGGGAUGAAGAUACUGAAAUUAUUGAGCCCUCUACCACUAAAUUUCCAAAAAGGGCGACAAAAAAACAUGGUGGAAAAGGGAAAGGUUCGGCCCAAAAAAAACAUUCAAAGGAAUGGCAAACUACUUCCGCUGAGCAAACUGCAUUACCUCUUAUCAGUGAUAGUGAAGAGGAACUGGAGCAGCUUACUAAUGUUGACGCAUCUGUCACGAAAUCACCCAGAAAAGGGACUGAACCUCAUUGUAAAAAGGGGAAAUGGUCUGCUAAAAAGAAUGGGACAGUUCAAACUAAGGAAAGGCAAACUGCUGAUCCUUCUGUUGAGCAAAUUGAGGAACAGCAGACUGUUGAGCAAAAUGCUAAGAAUCAGCAAGCUACUGAGACUUCCACCAGAAAGUCACCAAGAACAAGGUCUGGUGGACAGACCGAUAUACAUGAUACUCCUCGAAAUGGAAAGAGGAAACGAACUGCCAGGGAGCAACCUGAGGCUCAGAUUGCAGAGGAAUCUACCUCAUUGCCAAAGUUCAUUGAUGAUGAUGCCCGAGAUAGGUUCAAAUGGGUUUCUCAGAAGGACUUCAUCACCCAAUGGACAAUUAUCCCUCAUGAAUUCCGUAAGUUUGACCUUGAACCUGUCAUUAAGCUCUUUGAAUUCCAAAAAUGGAUUCAUAUUUUGACCAUUCCCAACACCUACUACCCUGACAUGCUUCAUCAAUUUUUUGUCAAUCUCAGGAAGGGUAAAUCCCAUACUGAUCUAGUCUCACGAGUAAAUUCUGUUGAUAUAGAAUUAAAUCCUGAUAUUGUCAACACUGUUAUGAAAAUCAAAAUUGAAUAUGGUUUUAAAGGAAAAAUUGCUAACUUUUUCUCAUAUGAACAAUUUCUUUCUGCCUAUAAUCACUUUCAUAUUGCAAAACUGAUGACUUAUUUUCAAACUCAUUUUAAUACUCCUACUGAGGCAAGAUUGGAAGAUCUCAAUCCUCAAAAUUUGAUCAUCUUCUCUAUAAUUUCAUCUAUUAGUUCCUACUGAUGGUUAUAGGACAAAUGCCAACAAAAUGGAGCUUUACCUGUUUUCCUGCUUUCUUGAAAAAAUUUGAAUUGAUUUCGGCUUUGUUAUGUGUAAAUUCUUACUCAAAAUCAGCACUGAUAGCCGUAGAAAACUUUCCUAUGAAAAAUUUCUGAUCCCAAUUUUUGCUCAUUUCAAAAUUCCCUUCACUGACAAAUCACCAAAAGAAAGUACAUCUAUUGUCUUUUCAAAGGCAUAUUUUGAAAGAAAAAAUCUGAUGUUUUUUGAUGGAAAAUGGUGCUACAAGGAAACUGUUUUGGAGACUAGGAGAAAGAAUCAUCAUGAAACACCUAUCUCCCCUAGGACUCCUCAAGAUCAGUCCAUGUAUAUUUCAUCCUUUACUAUCCAUCCUAGAAGGUUAGCCACUAAGCCCUCUUCAACUAACUCUGAGGUUAUUUCUUUGCUUGAAAAUCUCAAACAACACAUCCUACUCCUUGAAAAUAGUCUAAUGAUGACCGUGUCACCCGACCAACAAGCCACCUUCAUUGACAAAAGAAAUUUGCAUGUACCUCCUGUUCCUCAAGACAAUGAGAAUGUACACCAAAAGGGACCUAGAAUUGAGUCAACUGAGCAAACUCCUCGUACUGAAACUACUCUAGAGAUUCGUGCUUCCAGUUCUCAUCCACAGGACAAGGGAAAGGCUCCAGCAACUGAAGCGGAAACUGAAGAGGAUGAUGAUGAGGAAACUAAAGAGGAAGAAGUGGAUCCUGCUCAGUUUCGCCUAGCAAGAAGGAGGUCUGGAUCGUCCAAGAUUACAAUUUAGGCACCUCUAGGCUCGUGCACUUCAUGUUUAAGUAGGCAUCUCAUAUUAGACAUUUGCAUCUUCGGCAUUUUAACAUUUCAAGUACUCUGUACUCAAGAUUCUGGUUGUUUGGUUAACUCUUCUGGCUUAUAAACUAUUCGGUUAACUUCUCUAUGUUGAAUGGUUUCUAAUUAAUUUUGUUGGUUAUCUUUUUGGUUAAUUCUGUUUGCUUCUGGGUGCUUGGUAUCCCUGUGACUUCUGAUUUUUAACAUUGUUUGCUGAUAUUGGUGAUUGUUGAUUUUGUUGGAUAUUCUUGGUUAAUGAUGUUGUUGAUGACAUUGAUGUUGGAUACAGGAUUGGAAUUGGAUUUGAAUUGUAUUAAUGUCACUGGCUAUUAAGAUCUUCUAAUGAUGACAAAAAGGGGAAGAAAUGAUAACAAGUUACUACAGGAAAUGUAAUCUGGUAAAUACGUGAGGGGUAGCUAUUCUGAGGGAGAGUGUCUACCUUUUUUGAUUCAUUAAGUGAGGGGGAGUUUUUAACUUAAUUAUUUUCCUCCAUCCACUGUUUUGUCAUCAUCAGAAAAUGGGAGAUUGUUAAUCUCAGUUCUUAUCUUUUGAUGAUUACAAAACAAAUGGAUGUUACUAAUAUCUCCUCAAAGACUUUUUUAGAAAUGAAGCAAAUCAGGUUCAAAGAUGAAACUGUUGCUGAAGCUGUCGGACAUACAAAAAAACUGGAUCGGAUGUCUGACAAUCAUUGAGCAACUUCGAACGUAUGAGGAACUCCAUCACCGGACGUCCGAAAGAAAUCAAAACUCUUCCUUAAAUUCACUAAUCUCGAUCGAACGCAGCACCGGACGUCCGAUAGAAUUGAAAAGGAUUUUCAAACUUUACCAUCAACUUUCGGACGCAAACUUUGGAGGUACCGAAAGUCCAAAAGAAUUAAAGAAAAUUUUUCUUGCUCUCUGCCUGCUGUCGGACGUAAGAAACAAGACUACCGGACGUCCGACGCUACCAAUGGCUAGUUGACUGUUCAACUGCCUUCUAUCCGUUGGAAGCUUUAAUGAAGGAAUUUUUUGGUCUCCUAUAAAUAGAGUAAAGUCAACCACUUUAAAAUACUUUUGCACAUUGAAACUACAAAAGAUCUAGAGCAAUUUUAGUGAGAAAAUUCUCUUCAAAGAAGAUUUAUACUCUUAGUUGUGUAGAUUUCGUAUAAGCUUUUCUUGUGUGAGAAAAUUACUUCAAUAGUAUAGCUUUGUGAGGGUUAUCCGAGUGAUAGUAAAACUUCCUAAUUUAACCAAGUAUAGCUUGGAACAAGGAGGAAGUAAUCCUUCUUUUGUGCACAUAGAUUGGUUGUAAUCGAUCAACUUGAAGAAGCUUGCUCUAUAAAGUGAUGUUCAAACUCAAGAGAAGUUUGGAAUUUGGUUUGCUAUUCUAUCUCUUUUAUUUACUAUACUGCAAUAUAAAUUAUUCAUCUCUUCUACUCACGAGCAUUUGUGCUUUUUCAUUAUUUGUUCCAUUGUGUGCUCAUCUAGAAAAGAGGGUAAAUUUCAUAUUCAAUCAAAAAGUGUCUCAUAAUUUGGUUAGUUUUUAAUUACCUAAAUCACCCCUCUCUUAGGUUGUCUUCGAUUCUUAUACUAUAAUUUCUAUUCCACUGGCUCCAAAGAUCAAUACAGCAAUUGAAGUACGAGGCUGAGCAAGAAAGAACAAAAUGUCUCCGUCUUCUAACCUAUGAGCUAUAACAAAGUCACUCCAUCUUCGAUGAAAGCCAUCUUUUAUGAUUCCAAUAUUGUAACUUUUGGUUCCACUUGUUAGAACAAUAUCUAGAGUCCAAGGCUCAACUACAUUUAAUCAGUGUGCUCUAGAAUUUUCUACAAGCAAAAAGCAAGGCAUAAGAAUGUAAAGGAAUUAUGUUGCAAAAUAGAAGGAUUUGUCUUAAAAUAUAUAUAUGUAUAUACCGUGCUAUAUCUAAAUCUUUGAGUAUAAACUUAGAGCGCAUUUAGCACCAUUAGAUCAUGCCUAAUGAAUUGAUUGAUGGAUGAUGCAACAAAUCCUAAACUCACAUCUAUAGCUAUACCAUCUGUAGCACAGCAACAGGUGUGUUAGUAAAGUAUAUCAAGCGACAAAAAAAAAUUUAUUCAUUGUGAAAUGGAAAUUUAUGCUCCUUCUAAGAUCAGUGGUGUGUAUGGGAGCAUUGGCAAGUGCAAUGUUCAUCAUGUCCACAUUAGAUUGUGAGUAGCAGAGAAAGCAAAAACUUCGUAGAUGAAGUUCCCUCUAUUUCAAGAAAAAAAAAAUCAUAUUGCCUGGAGAGAUGUAGUUAUCACUGCAGAAAUUGUUCCAUUGUUUUUCAAAACAAGAAUUCAGAAUUUUUAUUUCCAAUGAGCCAAACCAUGAUAAAUUGUCCAUCUUCAAAACAAUUAGCAGCUACUAUUUCAUCAGGGAUCGCUUGAAAUGAGAUAGACAGGUUAGGUAUGUAUUAAGGGAAAAAGUGAGUAUCAAUUUAACAGAUGACUUAUUUUCUGGUGCUUGUGUAGAACAAAACAUAACACCACGGUUGUCCACUAUCCAUGAAACCAAUCUCUUCAUUUUCUGUUCAAGAGAACAAAAGAAAUGCAAUUAUAUGUGUAGCUCAUUGAGUAGUCCACAUUCUAUAAUGAUGCAAAAAAUGUAUAAAAAGCCACUUGUUUCUACGAAUGCCAUUGAGGUGAUAUAUGUAUUAUUCUAUAGCCACUGCUCAAUCAAUGCAAAUGAAAAUAGUGAGGGUUCACCCAUAUAUUUUAGAACCAUUGGACAUGCUUCAAGGAAAGACCUCUUCACAUAAUAAGUUGUCGCUCCAUGAACCUUGUUUACAGCAGUUGCUGCAAGAAUCUUUUCAUGGUCAAAGGUGCAUAGAUAAAAUUUAAUAUUGUUUCCCUUCUCAACUGCCUCCUAUUUCUAAAAGGGUCUCUUGGUUUAACCAUAGGUGGUUAAUAUCAAGAGUAUUUUAGUUCUAUAAUUUCAGCAUAUCUCAAAGCCGAUCACUAAAGCAAGGAGCAAAAACAAGGGAAAGUUUGCUGUGCUACCAAAGGAAGAAGAUGUUGAAUGUAUUUUAAAGUGAGAAUGAGCAUAGCAUGUUUAAAUAAGAAGUCAAUAUACAAGGACAAGCAUUAAGUACAAGAGCAUUAUAAUUGGUUGAAAAAAUAUGAAACCUCCAAAUAGAGCAAAGCAGGAAAUACCUCACUCAAUACUUCCAAACAAAGCCACCAUACAUAUAAUUAUUUAUAAUUCACAAUACUUGGGAAACAAGCAAAUAUUUUGAAAAUUUUCCCAACAAGACUUGCAUUACUGUAACCACAAUGAUCUCAAUCAUUAUGUGUUACAUAGUUGACCCAACUAUUCUAUUUUAACAAAGACAGAUUGUUUUAAAUAUUCUUACGAAAAUGAUAGAACACAAGUGGCAUGUUAGCCUUAAAAAUUUAUUGAAAAAAUACAAUAAUUUGACCUUUACUUGAAUGUCCAAUCACCAAAACUCAAAUACGAUACUGGAAAUCCUAAAAGCUUAAGCCCAAAUUAUAGAUCAAGGCCUUUACUCCAUAUCAGCCAAGUAAUAAUCAUAUAAUACCAUCCAACUAAAUAAAAAAUUAUGCUCACAUAAGCUUUCAAGAGCUGUACAUAUUGAGAAGUAAAUCUGUCAAGGAUUUUUAGAUAAAAUAGAACUUAAUCUGUCAAGGAUCAUCUCCAGCUAUUGUCUCACAAGUACAUCAUAACCAGAAGGAAAAGCAACUCAUCUACAUUUUUUCUUAGAAACCUCCAUUGUUUCAGAAGUGCAAGUGUAAACAGGCUCAUCCCUAGCCAUUAUCUCACAACCACAUCAGGACUAGAAGGAAAAGUAAAGGAAAUGGCCAAUGGAAAAUUCGAAAAAAAGCUACAAUUCUCAGAAAGAUUCAACCAUGCUCAAGUAAUACUAACAUAAUACCAUCCAAGUAAAUAAAAAAAAUUUUGGCUCACAGAAGCUUCCAAAAGCUAUACACAUUGACAGACCCACAACAUGAAAGACCCAGACCAGAAUAAUGCCAAGCAAAGACAUAGCCACAACCUAAAAAGGCAAGUCCAAAUAUAAGUAAAUAUGAAAAGUUUCUGCUUACAAAGGCUGCCAAAAUCUAUGCACAUUAACAAAAUUAUAACACAAAAGACCUACGAGAAUAAACCAAUGAAAAACAAAAUCACAACCAGAAAAGAUGACAAGAGGAUAGAAAUGCAAAAUACAAAGAUAAAUGAGCAAAGAAUAGAAAAAUAUCCAACAAACAUCAAACCAAUGGACAGAACAAUAGUGAAAAUGGUAAAAAGAAACAUAACCAAAUAUCCAUGAGCAAACGAAAAAUAGAAAAAAUAUAAUUUACCUAACGGGAGAAAUUACAAUCAGAGCUCGCAAGUAAAGGAUCUGUAGAAAAGAGGAGCUUGUCAAAAUGCCAAAAAGAAAAUGAAGGAAAUAGAGGAAAAUACUAAAAUAACUGAUGAGAAAAAGAAGGAGAUGAUGGGGGGAAUGUAGACAGAGCAAUAACAAAAAAUGGUACCCAAGAGCAAAGAAAAACAAAAAUAUUACAAAUUACCUGACAAAAGAAACUAUUAUUAGAGCUCGCAAGUAAAGGAUUUGCAGAAAAGAGGAGCUUGUUACAAUUUUUUUUUUUUAAAAGGACAAGGGAACCAAAGGAAAUAUUGAAAUACCUGAUAAGAGAAAAGAGAUGGAAAUGCAAGACACGGAGGUAAGCGAAGAAAACAGAAGACGAUGGAAAUGUAGAACACAGCAACAAACCUCCAAGAGCAGGACACACCUAAGCUUCACAAAGGCAGAGCAAUAACCACAUAGAAUCUGCGAGACAAAGAUGAAGUGAAAGGCAAAGAAGCUGAAAAGUGCCUGACGAGAGAAGCCACAAACAAAAUUCUCAAGACAAAGAUGAAGCGUGAAAACGGAGAUGAGAAAACAGAUGAGAAACUCUAGGAAAAAAGGGCACAACCAAUUUGUCUUGGAAUUCAGACCACAUUGGAAGAGACAGCCAUGAUAAAAUGCGCCAAUUACCAUUCUGAAGAAAGCUUUCCUGGUAGCUCCAGGCAAUGCAGCGGUGAGAGCCAAGAAGGAAAGGAACUCGUACGGUCAUCUGUUCCAAAGCAGAAAACCCAUGGUCGACCCAAUUACCCGAACCAUUCCAAUGGAGCAUCUAGAAGUGCAAACUUACACAACUCACAUGCUCGGCACAUGACAACGACGAAACCCCUUGGUGCAUUGUAUGUUAUGUUGAUAAGAAAAAAUGCACCUAUAUGAUUCAUCUUCAUAUCUUGCUGUCUUGUUUAAGUUUGCAUUACUGUUCAUGCAUCCGAUGUAUGUUCUUCCAUUUUUUUUCUUCCAUGUGUAUGUCAAACCUAUGGUACUCAUGCACUUAAUUGUUUUUUCAAAAUCUUAAGAGUAACAAGUUUAUUCUACUGAUUUCAUGAACUUGCAAAACACAAAAAAUUUAUAAAUGCAGGGAAAUGAUCAUAAAGUUCAUAAAACACAAUAAAGGAAAAAAGAGCAAGGAAAAAACACAAAAUAAAUGCAAAAAAAAAGUGGAAAAAAGUACAAGGGCAAGAAUCAUAAAAAGAAUGGGUAAGAAAGAAAGAUGCAGCACUUGCACUUGCACGAUAAGCCUUUAAAUCUUUGUUCACUACAAUGAAAAUCUCAAGCAAUGAUCAAUUACAUUAUUGUUAUCCUCUAGGCCAUUAUAUCAAGCUAGCUUACAUAAUGUACUUUGCCAAAUCAUUAGUCUCCUAUUGGGAGUCGAGCAUUUAAAAACUAAGAUGAGUUUUGCUCUACUCAUCAAAAAAAGAUGAGGAAAACAGCUUUUUGCCACAUUUGUGGUUUUAGAGCUUAUUGCACUACGUGCAUCUGGUGAUUUCAUUUGAUGCUAAAACUAUAUCGGUAUUUCCUUUUGAAUUUAAUGUAUCACAUCUUGCAAAAAAGGAGGCACAGUAUUAAGCGCAAUAAGGGGACAGGUGACCAUUUCAGCUGCAUGUCUUCUGAAUUUGCAGCCCAACUCUUCAUUGACUAUGAUCGGAUUGAUGAGAUGCCACUCACUUGUGUGUCUAGUUUGAAUCUACUGCUAUUAAAUGAAAGACAUAAAACGAGCGAGUUGUGCAUGAUAUGCGUAGAAGCAUAACUGGUUCCAUGUAAUUUCUAAGUGCAUUUGAAGGUAGGAAGUUACACUACAGAUUUGUUGGCCUAUUAUUCUACAAAAUGGCUCAGUGAUCUAGAAUUAUAUCAUUGCAAAGAAUGAUUUGCUUGUUGAAGGCACUGACAAAAACAUCCAGCUUCUUGUUGAAGAUUAGAACAUCUGUGACAUCUAAGUUCCAGUUUGUUUUCUUUUCCCAUUUUUGGAAUGAGUUUAGUUUCUUAAGUCACCAAAUUUACAACAUUUUCAUGUUCUUGACAGUGGAUGCUAUUUGUCUAAAGUAAUUUUUCAUGUAUACUUAGCAUCGUUCACUAAAAUCGUGAUAUAGAACUUGACUUUUGACUUGAUAUUAUUUUCUGUUCUUCCUAGGCCUGUCUACUGCUUGUUGUUUUGUGUAGUCAUUAUUCAGAGUUUGAAGACUAUUGGACCUGUAGGCUUUAAAAAUCUUGUUCACAAUUUUCUUCAAAAAGUUGGCUGCAAGAAGCUUUAGAACCUGCAUUUCAAAGAGCUGGUCAGAGAAUGUAUCCUUAUUGAAAGACUGCAGUGGAUAAUUAUACUGAUUCAUUUUUUGCUAAAUAUCUUUUUAUGUUGAGCAUACCAUUUUUUGGUUGAACUUAACUUUCACUAUAAAGGGACAGAGAUUUGGAGAAUUGAAAACUUCCAACCAAUUCCUUUACGAAAAUCUGAUCAUCGUAAGUUCUACUUAGGUGAUUCAUACAUUGUCUUGCAGGUGCAUAUGGCUUCCAAUAUUUCUUCCUUUGUAUCUUAUUUUGGGCCUCAUUUUUAUGAAUUGAGUGUUUAUGACUGAAGGAAGAGCUUAAAUCUUUUUUAUCCUAUUUUAAGUUUGGAUACAAUGAACUGAUAAAAACUAAUAUCGAUCAUUGCAGUCCAGUUUAAUAUUGAUCAUGAGGAGGCUGUUGAAUAUGAUGAUAGAGAUGGUUGAAAUCUGACAUUGGUACUACGGUCUAUGCUUUAGUUUAGAAAUCUAGUACUCUUUUUUUUUGGAAGGAUAUGUAUUGGUCAUUACUGCUUGAACUUAUUAUGUGAGCUUUGGGACCCAACAUUUGUGGUUCACUUUUGUUUUGAUGAAUGUAUAGACGUUCAUGGCCAUAUAUAUGAAUUUGUGGUUUUAUUCUACGUUGAUUUUGUCUUUUGUCAAAUUGAAUAUUCUGCUAUAAUUUGUUGAAAAUGCUAUGACAAUGCUAUAUUCGUAAUGGUCAAUUUCAGCUCUUCAAGACAAAGCUCAGUGACAACCUUUGACAUGCAAUUUCACUAAGUGACGAUUAUUUCUGUCACUGAAUAAUAGGACUGAUUGUGACAAGCUCAGGUUGUCACUGUAAACUUCAAAUUUGUGACGACUUUUGCUACAUCUAUGAUAAAAAUAUAGGUGAAACAGUGACAAGAAAAGUCAUUACAAAAUAAUAUCCAUUAGUGACGACUUUGUCCUCGUCAUUGAAUAACAAGAUUCUAUGACGACUUUCAAAGAGUUGUCACAUGGACCCAUUUAUGACAUAGAAUCUGUGACAACCAUGUGACAAUCGAAAAAGCCGUCACUAUAUCUGUAUAAUGACGACUUUUUGGCUUUUAGUAAUGACUUUUUGUUGUCACAAAAGACCCAUUUUCUUGUAGUGUAGUAUGCACAGAAAAGGUGGCUAGAUCUAAUUUUUUUGGGGGGAGGGGUGUUUCGAUUCGCAUUAUUUGAAUUCAAAGGGGAUGUUACUGUGACGCCCCCACAUCUCCCUAAGUCGAACCAAAGGGUAUCCGCGGGACGCCUGCCCAACUCUAGUCAGGACUCAAGUAAUUCCGUUCAACUUAAAACCAAACCGAACAUUUCGAAGAGAGCAACAUGAAUACAAAUAAUGCAGAAGCGUUAAAACUUAUCAAGUCACUUAACAUGUAACCAGUACAUCGGGUAAUCAUAAUACAACUUAAAUCCUAAAUACACGUCAAGGCCCAAAUUUUACAUUUCAAUUCCAAAAGUACAACCCAAACCAGGGCAUAGCCAAAAUAUAGUAGAAAUCCUAAACAAAAGGACAACGAAGGGUUUCUCCAUACUUCCCCAAGAUUCGGUCAUGUUAAGGAAAACAAACUAAUAGGAUGAGCCAAUACUCAGUAAGGCCAAGAAAACACACAUGCAAACACAUAAUCCAAGUAGCGACAACAAUUACAUUGUAGGUAAGGCUAUCAAAUUCGAAUAAUUCACAUUUCGAAUAGGAAAAAUAAACAGAAACAAUUCAACGAUACUGUAGCUCUCAGGAGCUAAAUUCCACGUAGUCGAGUCAAAGUCUUGAUCACAUCUCACGUUGACACUUCGUCAACCACAUAAGUAUCAAAUCCGUAGAUACACCACUUUUCUUCGAAUCCCGUCACCGUUACACCCCCUUACCGGGCCCGCUCAUAAAAGUUUUUGAUAAUACUCGAGUAUAUCAUGGCAAUACUGCACGAGUAAUGCCGAACAAAAUCUCUCAAAUAGAUCAUGCUCUACAAAUAUCUCAUGGUUUGCUAAGCUUAUCGACCAAGCCCAUGCUGGCUCGAUUCGCAAAGUUAGCCAACGAGUUUGGGCGUCCCCCGAAUACGAAUACGAAUAUAAGUCGAUGAACAACGCUCAAAUCGACAAUUCCAAAUAGGAAUCACAAAUACGGAUCACGUAUACGAAUCACAAAUACAAAUCACAUCCACAUUACCAUGUACAAGUCGGAUACGAAUUCACAUAGCAAAAUUCGAAUAUAAUUUCAUUUGAAAGAGAACGAAUGCGAUAAAGUACACCCUCGUCUCAAAAUUUCAAAUUUACAUAACGGAUAAGAAACAGAUAACCACUUAACAACAAGUUCAUGCACUUGACACUCACCAAUCGAAAUAAGGGAGUAAGUGCAUAAACGAGCCUUUAGGUGUUCCCCUCGAGAUCCUCUUGAAGGUCUCCUAGAGCACCUGAGUAAAUAGUAAUUGUCUAUUACACACUAUCGCUUAAAACCCCUAAUUAUCGAGGAAGAUUGCACACUUGUACAAUCUAAGAAAAUUUCACGAAAAUGAGCCUUGAUUACUCGUAAAUCGAGGCUAAAAAAAUGGUGUUUUAAAACACAAGCGAAAUCUGAUUUUCAUCUUUGAAAUCAAGUGUAAAACGGUUUAGCAAUAUCGAAGGAAAAUAGAGAGUUUGCAACUCUUAAUUUCCUUUAAGUUCGAAAAUUUCAGAUUUGUCACCCAUACUUUGGAAAAUCGUAUCUCAUUCUCUACAAGUCCAAAAUUGGAAAACAUUAUACCGUUGGAAACCUCUUGGAAAUUACUAAAAGUUCUUAGAAUACACUUUUCCAUGAAUCUAAGUAAAAAGCACUCAAAAAUGAGCUUGAAAUCACUGUUCCAGAAUGUUCAGGAUUGAGCUGGGGUUGGUUUUUCGCUAACUUUGGAAAUUUGGCAGAAUUCACUCGUUGUAAAAUAGCCCUUGAAAUUUAUAACUCAAUUAGAGGUGCAAGUAAGGUUUAGGGAAGAACAAGAGGAUUGAGAAUUGGAGUUUCGAGCACCGAGAUACGGUAGCUCGAAGUUGGGAAAAUUCAAGUCUGGUGAACAAUUUCCAGAUUUGAGUUUCCAAAAAUUGGAACCUUAGCUAAGUGUCAAAACGAACUUGGAUUGGUAUAAAAUUUUGCAGUAUGUUACUCCUAUAUGAAAGGUACCGCUCUAUCAAAUUUCAGGGAAAAAUACCUUCGGAAAGGUAGUUAAUUAAUCAUCCAAAGUUCAGGAAAAUUUCUAAAGCAACCUGUCUUUUGACUUCAUUUCCCAAUUUAAAUCGUUUAAUCAAGAAAGCUAUCCAACCAUGGUUCAUUUGUGAAAUAAAGGUCAAAGAUACAUCCAUGAUACCUUUGGUAAGUGUUUAGCAUCAAGAACUUCAAUUAAUAAGAUCACUCCCAGGUUUUGUCCCAAAUCGGUCCAAGUAUUUCGGUUUUCCCAAAACAGGGCAGUUCUCUUGUUUUGGUCACAACUCAGUCAAUUUAACUCAAAAUGGAGCAUGGUUUAUGUCGUUGAAAAAUAAAUUCAUAGGGCUAUAAUAUCACAGAAGAAAUCAUUUCAAAAUUUGGCACCCAAAUAGUUCAAAAUCGAGCAUCAAUUUGCUGUCUUAUCACUUCAUUCCAGUUGAACAGAGCAACAAGACAGCGAUCUUAAAACGAUUGGUUCGGCUCACUCACAAAGAAUCAGAACAUGCAUUUUAUCUCAAAUUAACGCCUGGAAUGUCUAGUUUCCAACGCCACCAACGGCACAUGAUUUUGACAUCCGAGGACGGAGUUAUGGCCGAAACACCACCGCUGGUUAGAGCCAUACGUGAACAGUUUCCAGAUUUGCUAGUUUCACAAAAAAAAAUUCAUCUGCCCAACCAAACCUCAUUAUUUUUCAAUGAAAUUUUUCACACAUCUAAUACGUCUAAAAUAACGGUCUUAAGUCCCUUAAUUGAUCGCGCGCGUAAAACGCGUAUUUCCAAUUUUGCGCGAUAACGCUUAACUUUCAAAAAAAUUUCUUAUAACGAUUGUAUUACUAACUAAUACUUGAGCACUUAAACAUAAAAAUACCUAAUUUCAGACUAAUGUACAUGUCUCUAAUUUUUUCCAAACUUAUUGUAUCCUCGAUUCAAUUAUUUAUUCCAAUCGCAUAUUCACUAUUUUUACUUAACGAGUCUUCGGAAAUUAAAUUUUGAAACAAGUCACUUUAAAAAUAUAACUAAGCCAUAGAUCCUUUUAAUUAGGUCUAAAAAGGUUAGAAAAUAAUAUUUGGGGCGAUUGGCCAAAUAAAUAAUUAAAUGAGCUAGAAUUUGGAGUUUAAAAUAGGUAAAUUUUUGUGAGUCUUUACAUGAGUCGAGUAUUAAUUCCUUAAUGAACCUUUCUUAAUCUACCACUGAUCAUUGUUAACUCUCUAAUAUCAAUACACUCUCGAUUCAAAUAUAGUCUCGAAAAACAUGCACUCGUUGUUCCAAACUAAACGAGUUUUCGAAAAGUGAAUUUUUCUUACAAAACGCUUUAAAAAAUAUAAAUGAGGCGUCGUUCCAUAUAAAUGGAUUUUAAAUGAUCGAAAUAAAUAAUUUGGAGAAAAAUGAGUAAAUAAAUAAUUAAACAAACUACCAAUAUUCGAUAAAAUAAAAAAAAAUUUCGAGUCCUCACAUCCUCCCCUCUUUAAAAGAAUUUCGUCCUCGAAAUUCACACUUAGGAUAAUAGUCAUACCCUUAAUAGUCAUGCCUUUCAAAUUAAUCACUAACUUACACCCUCCGAUCCAUAUCUCACAAUUUCUAUUUACCCAAUUAGUAGUCAAACUUUAAUUCUAUCUUAUGAAUUUAGGGUUUUACAAAAAGUGUGUACGGUACUAGGUCACUGAGAACCUUAGAUAGACAAAUAAAAGGAAGAAUCAUAUCUCUAAUGACUUUAGUAGAAUCGGAAACAUGUUGAUAAUCUAAUGCAUAAACCCUAGCUAGUGCAUUAGAUCGACUUCCUCCAAUACUAGGCUGCUUAACGGCUGACUUUUCAGGCCUUUGGGUACUACCUCCUUCUUUUGGUACGGUCGGGCAUUUUGAUAUCUGGUGCUCGGUCCUACCACAAUACAAGCACUUCCCUUGUUUCCUAAAACAAUCUUUCUCCGUAUGGUUGAGCUUGCCACAAUAACCACAAACGACUUGGGGAGCCACAGAUUGACCACUUGGAGGUGUCCCUCUCGAUUGACCUCGUCCAUUGCGAUCUACUCUUGAUUGAGUCCCUUUUUGCAUGUUAGAUAUCUCCACUCUACCCAUCCCUUUUCCCUUUUUAAAAGGUGGGGCACUCUUAUCUGCCUGUCCCGAAUGGUUACUAGAAGUGCCCCUCUUCUUAGCAUGAAAGUCUCUAACUUGCAGCCUUGCACUCUCGACUCUCUGUGCUUUUUCUAAGACUUCAGUGAACGUAGAGAUUUGGGUUGCAGCCAAACCCUCCUGGAUUUCUACAUUAAGUCCCUGCACGAACCGUCUAAUCCUCCUCCGUUCAUUAAUCACCAAUUCAGGAGCGUACUUAGAAAACUUAGUGAACUUUCCCUCGUACUCUGCUACACUAAGGGUUCCUUGUUUCAACUUGAUGAAUUCAUCCUCCCUUUUCUCUUGGAUUAAGGGCGGAAGAAAUUUCUCAUUAAAUUCCCUCAUGAAAUUCUCCCAAGUCCAAGGGGUUUGAGCUCUUUCCCAUUUUCCCCUUAUCAGGUCCCACCAAGCGCGUGCCACUCCCUCAAAUUGGAAUGCAGCAAAAUUCACUCGCCUAUCCUCGGUAUAGUCUAAGGCGGCGAAUAUAUUGGUCAUUCUCUCUAACCAGUUUUCAGCUGCCUCGGGGUCGGGCUCUCCAGUGAACUUAGGCGGGUUGAAUUUAAGAAACCUCUCCAAGGCUCUAUCUUCUCCUCUAUCCUGUCCCCCAAGUUGGUUAAGCGGUCCUGGACCCUGUCUUUCAGCUAAGCGUUUUAGGAUAUCAGUCAUCCUAUUGAUGGCAGUAGCCAUUUGGUUAAACUCUAUAUUCUCUUGUCCUUGGGUCGGUCCAGUUGCCGAUCCUUGUUCAUUCCCUUGAGGUUGGGUCUGUCUAGUCCCUCGCCCAUGGCCUCGACCACUCUUUAGUCCUUCCAUUAUCUUAAGGGUGCCUAAUGCAGGAAAUAAAAGCGAUCACGCAAGAAAUUUCUUAAAACAAGAGCCGAUCUAGAAAACAUCAGAAAUAACAAUAAUUAACAUGUAUUUAUGCUUUUAAAAUUCAUAAAAUUAGCAAGUCGGGGGGGUAUGACAAAAAAAAACAGCACACAGGUGCCACAAAAAUACUUUUAGUCACAUACGACUAAAGUAAAGUAAAGUGCCUCAAAAGUAGGCCAUACAGUCAUACAAAAAUGCAAUGGCCUCAGCACUAGCAUCACCCCAGCUAAAUCUAACUACAUCAGUCAAAAGGGGCUAAUUUUUUUUUUUCGUUCAUUUCCAACUCAUAUCAAACUCUUGGAUCCUAUGGAGUUACAUAGGACCAUCCAUCAAUCUUUCUCUAUCUCUCUCUCUCUUAGGCUCAUCUACAUUCCACUUCUCUCUAGUCAAUAUUGUCCCACACUCAGUUAAAAUAUUCUGCGCCAAAUGUCUCAUUUCUCUUACUACAUGAACUGGAAAUCCAUUGACCUCUUGCACUUGCUCUCACGAAACAUUAGUCCAUUCUUGUUCCUCGCAAAUGGAGAUCUUAAGUCUUUAACGUUACCCUCAACUCCUAAGUACUCGGGUACAAGAAUCCGAAAUAAAAUAAUUCACAUCUCGAGCUGGCCAGUCCCAAGAGUAAAUCACCAUAUUUGAGAUUCGUACCCAACAUACAUAUUUGGUCUUUCCCAAGUAUUACGAUAAAAGAUUUAUACCUAUCACAUUCAUGAUUCACAGCUUACACUCUAAAAGAGUACUUAAGCCUUUAGUCAUUCAUAUGAUAAGGACCAUAACACCAUUUGACCCAAUCUCACCCUUCGCAGAUACCACGCGAAGCGGCUCUGAUUUUUUUUUUUCCUACAAGUGGCCACUUAACUUUCAAACCAAUCCCACAGUCCGGCAUCCUAAAUUUCAACCCUAAGAUACACUACAAAGAUCUGAAACCUAAACUCUGAUACCAAAUGUGACGCCCCACAUCUCCUUAAGGCGAACCAAAGGGUAUCCGCGGGACGCCUGCCCAACUCUCGCCAGGACUCAAGCAAUUCCAUUCAACUUAAAAUCAAACCGAACAUUUCGAAGAGAGCAACAUGAAUACAAAUAAUGCAGAAGCGUUAAAACUUAUCAAGUCACUUAACAUGUAACCAGUACAUCGGGUAAUCAUAAUACAACUUAAAUCCUAAAUACACGUCAGGGUCCAAAUUUUACAUUUCAAUUCCAAAAGUAUAACCCAAAUCAGGGCAUAGCCAAAAUAUAGUAGAAAUCCUACACAAAAGGACAACGAAGGGUUUCUCCAUACUUCCCCAAGAUUCGGUCCUGUUAAGGAAAACAAACUAAUAGGAUGAGCCAAUACUCAGUGAGGCCAAGAAAACACACAUGCAAACACAUAAUCCAAGUAGCAACAACAAUUACAUUGUAGGUAAGGCUAUCAAAUUCGAAUAAUUCACAUUUCGAAUAGAAAAAAUAAACAGAAACAAUUCAAGGAUACUGUAGCUCUCAGGAGUUAAAUUCCACGUAGUCGAGUCAAAGUCUUGAUCACAUCUCACGUUGACACUUCGUCAACCACAUAAGUAUCAAAUCCGUAGAUGCACCACUUUUCUUCGAAUCCCGUCACCGUUACACCCCCUUAUCGGGCCCGCUCAUCAAAGUUUUUGAUAAUACUCGAGUAUAUCAUGGCAAUACUGCACGAGUAAUGACGAACAAGAUCUCUCCAAUUGAUCAUGCUCUACAAAUAUCUCAUGGUUUGCUAAGCAAAUCGACCAAGCCCAUGCUGGCUCGAUUCGCAAAGUUAGCCAACGAGUUUGGGCGUCCCCCAAAUACGAAUACGAAUACGAAUACGAAUAUAAGUCGAUGAGCAACGCUCAAAUCGACAAUUCCAAAUAGGAAUCACAAAUACGGAUCACGUAUACGAAUCACAAAUACAAAUCACAUCCACAUUACCAUGUACAAGUCGGAUACGAAUUCACAUAGCAAAAUUCGAAUAUAAUUUCAUUUGAAAGAGAAUGAGAGCGAUAAAGUACACCCACGUCUCAAAAUUUCAAAUUUACAUAACGGAUAAGAAACAGAUAACCACUUAACAACAAGUUCAUGCACUUGACACUCACCAAUCGAAAUAAGGGAGUAAGUGCGUAAACGAGCCUUUAGGUGUUCCCCUCGAGAUCCUCUUGAAGGUCUCCUAGAGCACCUGAAUAAAUAGUAAUUGUCUAUUACACACUAUCGCUUAAAACCCCUAAUUAUCGAGGAAGAUUGCACACUUGUACAAUCUAAGAAAAUUUCACGAAAAUGAGCCUUGAUUACUCGUAAAUCGAGGCUAAAAAAAUGGGGUUUUAAAACACAAGAGAAAUCUGAUUUUCAUCUUUGAAAUCAAGUGUAAAACGGUUUAGCAAUAUCGAAGGAAAAUAGAGAGUUCGCAACUCUCAAUUUCCUUUAAGUUCGGAAAUUUCAGAUUUGUCACCCAUACUUUGACAAAUCGUAUCUCAUUCUCUACAAGUCCAAAAUUGGAAAAAUUUAUACCGUUGGAAACCUCUUGGAAAUUACUAAAAGUUCUUAGAAGACACUUUUCCUUGAAUCUAAGUGGAAAGUACUCAAAAAUGAGCUUGAAAUCACUGUUCCAGAAUGUUCAGGAUUGAGCUGGGGUUGGUUUUUCGCUAACUUUGAAAAUUUGGCAGAAUUCACUCGUUGCAAACUAACCCUUGAAAUUUAUAAAUCAAUUAGAGGUGCAAGUAAGGUUUAGGGAAAAACAAGCGGAUUGAGAAUUGGAGUUUCGAGCACCGAGAUACGGUAGCUCGAAGUUGGGAAAAUUCAAGUCUGGUGAACAAUUUCCAGAUUUGAGUUUCCAAAAAUUGGAACCUUAGCUAAGUGUCAAAACGAACUUGGAUUGGUAUAACAUUUUGCAGUAUGUUACUCCUAUAUGAAAGGUACCGCUCUAUCAAAUUUCAGGGAAAAAUACCUUCGGAAAGGGAGUUAAUUAAUCAUCCAAAGUUCAGGAAAAUUUCUAAAGCAACCUGUCUUUUGACUUCAUUUCCCAAUUUAAAUCGUUUAAUCAAGAAAGCUAUCCAACCAUGGUUCAUUUGUGAAAUAAAGAUCUAAGAUACAUCCAUGAUACCUUUGGUAAGUGUUUAGCAUCACGAACUUCAAUUAAUAAGAUCACUCCCAGGUUUUGUCCCAAAUCAGUCCAAGUAUUUCGGUUUUUCCAAAACAGGGCAGUCCUCUUGUUUUGGUCACAACUCAGUCAAUUUAACUCAGAAUGGGGCAUGGUUUAUGUUGUUGAAAACUAAAUUCAUAGGGCUAUAAUAUCACAGAAGAAAUCAUUCCAAAAUUUGGCACCCAACUAGUUCAAAAUCGAGCAUCAAUUUGCUGCCUUAUCACUUCAUUCCAGUUGAAAAGAGCAACAGGACAGCGAUCUUAAAACGUUUGGUUCGGCUCACUCACAAAGAAUCAGAACAUGCAUUUUAUCUCAAAUUAACGCCUGGAAUGUCUAGUUUCCAACGCCACCAACGGCACAUGAUUUUGACAUCCGAGGUCGGAGUUAUGGCCGAAACACCACAGCUGGUCAGAGCCAUACGUGAACAGUUUCCAGAUUUGCUAGUUUCACAAAAAAAAAUUCAUCUGCCCAACCAAACCUCAUUAUUUUUCAAUGAAAUUUUUCACACAUCUAAUACGUCAUAUAAACAUCAGAUUCAACCCAUUAGAUCAUUAAAAAUUGGCCUUAAAAUGGCCGAACAAGGCAACGGCAAAAUCGGAAACUUUUGCUUCUUGCACCCAAUGAAAUUUCUAUCAAUUACACACCAUUAAUCCAUCAUUUUAACCACUAAACCAACAAUAUAUCCACCAUCAAUCAUCAAAUCAGCAACAACCCAAGAGUGGGAGUUCAUAGAGCCCACCAUCAAAAUUUUCCAACAAUACAAGCUACCCAUGUGAAGAUUCAAGCUCAUAUGUGUAAUUUAACCUCCAUAGGAAAAGUUUAGAGUGUUGGAUCAUUACCUGCUUUGGUGGUUGUUCAAGUCUGAAUUUUCGGCCCUUUGAAGCCUGAAGAAAACCGUGGAAAUGAAGCUCUUCUCCUUGCCUAAGUGAAUCUCCAAGUGGUUUGUAAGUUGGAUGCAAAUUUUGAGAUGAAAUGGAGGAAGAUUGGUGCAAGAAUGAAGAAGCUUUUCUUCCUUUCUUUCCUUUGCUGUUUGGUCGGCUGUUUUGGUGUGAAAAUGGGAGUUCUAGCCGUGCCCUUAAGGUGAGAAAAGAAGGGUUUUGAUCUGGUGUGAUGGGUCCACUAAAAGCUUAAGAAUGUGUGGACAAAAUUGCUCCAAAAGUCAACUAAGGAUAGUGCGCGAACGCGCGCCUUUCGUGCUCGUUUCCUCUCGGGUUUGUUUCACUUGUGCACUAAACCUCUAAUGCACUUCCAUUCAUACUAUUAUUAUUCACUUUUAAUAGUCUAAAAUAACGGUCUUAAGUCCCUUAAUUGAUCGCGCGCGUAAAACGCGUAUUUCCAAUUUUGCGCGAUAACGUUUAACUUUCAAAAAAAAUUCUUAUAACGAUUGUAUUACUAAUUAAUACUUGAGCAUUUAAACAUAAAAAUACCUAAUUUGAGACUAAUGUACAUGUCUCUAAUUUUUUCCAAACUUAUUAUAUCCUCGAUUCAAUUAUUUAUUCCAAUCGCAUAUUCACUAUUUUUACUUAACGAGUCUUCAGAAAUUAAAUUUUGAAACAAGUCAUUUUAAAAAUAUAACUAAGCUAUAGAUCCUUUUAAUUAGGUCUAAAAAGGUUAGAAAAUAAUAUUUGGGGCGAUUGGCCAAAUAAAUAAUUAAAUGAGUUAGAAUUUGGAGUUUAAAAUCGGUAAAUUUUUGUGAGUCUUUACAUGAGUCGAGUAUUAAUUCCUUAAUGAACCUUUCUUAAUCUACCAUUGAUCAUUGUUAACUCUCUAAUAUCAAUACACUCUCGAUUCAAAUAUAGUCUCGAAAAACAUGCACUCGUUAUUCCAAACUAAACGAGUUUUCAAAAAAUGAAUUUUUCUUACAAAACGCUUUAAAAAAUAUAAAUGAGGCGUCGUUCCAUAUAAAUGGAUUUUAAAUGAUCGAAAUAAAUAAUUUGGAGAAAAAUGAGUAAAUAAAUAUUUAAACAAACUACCAAUAUUCGAUAAAAUAAAAUAAAAAUUUCGAGUCCUCACAUCCUCCCCUCCUUAAAAGAAUUUCGUCCUCGAAAUUCACACUUAGGAUAAUAGUCAUACCCCUUAAUAGUCAUGCCUUUCAAAUUAAUCACUAACUUACACCCUCCGAUCCAUAUCUCACAAUUUCUAUUUACCCAAUUAGUAGUCAAACUUUGAUUCCAUCUUAUGAAUUUAGGGUUUUGCAAAAAGUGUGUACGGUACUAGGUCACUGAGAACCUUAGAUAGACAAAUAAAAGGAAGAAUCAUACCUCUAAUGACUUUAGUAGAAUCGGAAACAUGUUGAUAAUCUAAUGCAUAAACCCUAGCUGGUGCAUUAGAUCGACUUCCUCCAACACGAGGCUGCUUAGCGGCUGACUUUUCAGGCCUUUGGGUACUACCUCCUUCUUUUGGCACGGUCGGGCAUUUUGAUAUCUGGUGCUCGGUCCCACCACAAUACAAGCACUUCCCUUGUUUCCUAAAACAAUCAUUCUCCGUAUGGUUGAGCUUGCCACAAUAACCACAAACGACUUGGGGAGCCACAGAUUGACCACUUGGGGGUGUCCCUCUCGAUUGACCUCGUCCAUUGCGAUCUACUCUUGAUUGAGUCCCUUUUUGCAUGUUAGAUAUCUCCACUCCACCCAUCCCUUUUCCCUUUUUAAAAGGUGGGGCACUCUUAUCUGCCUGUCCCGAAUGGUUACUAGAAGUGCCCCUCUUCUUAGCAUGAAAGUCUCUAACUUGCAGCCUUGCACUCUCGACUCUCUGUGCUUUUUCUAAGACUUCAGUGAACGUAGAGAUUUGGGUUGCAGCCAAACCCUCCUGGAUUUCUACAUUAAGUCCCUGCACGAACCGUCUAAUCCUCAUCCGUUCAUUAAUCACCAAUUCAGGAGCGUACUUAGAAAGCUUAGUGAACUUUCCCUCGUACUCCGCUACACUAAGGGUUCCUUGUUUCAACUUGAUGAAUUCAUCCUCCCUUUUCUCUUGGAUUAAGGGCGGAAGAAAUUUCUCAUUAAAUUCCCUCGUGAAAUUCUCCCAAGUCCAAGGGGUUUGAGCUCUUUCCCACUUUCCCCUUAUCAGGUCCCACCAAGCGCGUGCCACUCCCUCAAAUUGGAAUGCAGCAAAAUUCACUCGCCUAUCCUCGGUAUAGUCUAAGGCGGCGAAUAUAUUGGUCAUUCUCUCUAACCAGUUUUCAGCUGCCUCGGGGUCGGGCUCUCCAGUGAACUUAGGCGGGUUGAAUUUAAGAAACCUCUCCAAGGCUCUAUCUUCUCCUCUAUCCUGUCCCCCAAGUUGGUUAAGCGGUCCUGGACCCUGUCUUUCAGCUAAGCGUUUUAGGAUAUCAGUCAUCCUAUUGAUGGCAGUAGCCAUUUGGUUAACCUCUAUAUUCUCUUGUCCUUGGGUCGGUCCAGUUGCCGAUCCUUGUUCAUCCCCUUGAGGUUGGGUCUGUCUAGUCCCUCGCCCAUGGCCUCGACCACUCUUUAGUCCUUCCAUUAUCUUAAGGGUGCCUAAUGCAGGAAAUAAAAGCGAUCACGCAAGAAAUUUCUUAAAACAAGAGCCGAUCUAGAAAACAUCAGAGAUAACAAUAAUUAACAUGUAUUUAUGCUUUUAAAAUUCAUAAAAUUAGCAAGUCGGGGGGGUAUGACAAAAAAAAAACAGCACACAGGUGCCACAAAAAUAUUUUUAGUCACAUACGACUAAAGUAAAGUAAAGUGCCUCAAAAGUAGGCCAUACAGUCAUACAAAAAUGCAAUGGCCUCAGCACUAGCAUCACCCCAGCUAAAUCUAACUACAUCAGUCAAAAGGGGCUAAUUUUUUUUUUCGUUCAUUUCCAACUCAUAUCAAACUCUUGGAUCCUAUGGAGUUACAUAGGACCAUCCAUCAAUCUUUCUCUAUCUCUCUCUCUCUUAGGCUCAUCUACAUUCCACUUCUCUCUAGUCAAUAUUGUCCCACACUCAGUUAAAAUAUUCUGCGCCAGAUGUCUCAUUUCUCUUACUACAUGAAUUGGAAAUCCAUUGACCUCUUGCACUUGCUCUCACGAAACAUUAGUCCAUUCUUGUUCCUCGCAAAUGGAGAUCUUAAGUCUUUAACGUUACCCUCAACUCCUAAGUACUCGGGUACAAGAAUCCGAAAUAAAAUAAUUCACAUCUCGAGCUGGCCAGUCCCAAGAGUAAAUCACCAUAUUUGAGAUUCGUACCCAACAUACAUAUUUGGUCUUUCCCAAGUAUUACGAUAAAAGAUUUAUACCUAUCACAUUCAUGAUUCACAGCUUACACUCUAAAAGAGUACUUAAGCCUUUAGUCAUUCAUAUGAUAAGGACCAUAACACCAUUUGACCCAAUCUCACCCUUCGCAGAUACCACGCGAAGCGGCUCUGAUUUUUUUUUUUUCCUACAAGUGGCCACUUAACUUUCAAACCAAUCCCACAGUCCGGCAUCCUAAAUUUCAACCCUAAGAUACACUACAAAGAUCUGAAACCUAAGCUCUGAUACCAACUGUGACGCCCCACAUCUCCUUAAGGCGAACCAAAGGGUAUCCGCGGGACGCCUGCCCAACUCUCGCCAGGACUCAAGCAAUUCCAUUCAACUUAAAACCAAACCGAACAUUUCGAAGAGAGCAACAUGAAUACAAAUAAUGCAGAAGCGUUAAAACUUAUCAAGUCACUUAACAUGUAACCAGUACAUCGGGUAAUCAUAAUACAACUUAAAUCCUAAAUACACGUCAGGGCCCAAAUUUUACAUUUCAAUUCCAAAAGUACAACCCAAAUCAGGGCAUAGCCAAAAUAUAGUAGAAAUCCUAAACAAAAGGACAACGAAGGGUUUCUCCAUACUUCCCCAAGAUUCGAUCCUGUUAAGGAAAACAAACUAAUAGGAUGAGCCAAUACUCAGUGAGGCCAAGAAAACACACAUGCAAACACAUAAUCCAAGUAGCAACAACAAUUACAUUGUAGGUAAGGCUAUCAAGUUCGAAUAAUUCACAUUUCGAAUAGAAAAAAUAAACAGAAAUAAUUCAAGGAUACUGUAACUCUCAGGAGCUAAAUUUUACGUAGUCGAGUCAAAGUCUUGAUCACAUCUCACGUUGACACUUCGUCAACCACAUAAGUAUCAAAUCCGUAGAUACACCACUUUUCUUCGAAUCCCGUCACCGUUACACCCUCUUAUCGGGCCCGCUCAUCAAAGUUUUUGAUAAUACUCGAGUAUAUCAUGGCAAUACUGCACGAGUAAUGCCGAACAAGAUCUUUCCAAUAGAUCAUGCUCUACAAAUAUCUCAUGGUUUGCUAAACUUAUCGACCAAUCCCAUGCUGGCUCGAUUCGCAAAGUUAGCCAACGAGUUUGGGCGUCCCCCGAAUAUGAAUACGAAUACGAAUAUAAGUCGAUGAGCAACGCUCAAAUCGACCAUUCCAAAUAGGAAUCACAAAUACGAAUCACAAAUACGGAUUCCAAAUAGGAAUCACAAAUACAGAUCACGUAUACGAAUCACAAAUACAAAUCACAUCCACAUUACCAUGUACAAGUCGGAUACGAAUUCACAUAGCAAAAUUCGAAUAUAAUUUCAUUUGAAAGAGAAUGAGUGCGAUAAAGUACACUCUCGUCUCAAAAUUUCAAAUUUACAUAACGGAUAAGAAACAGAUAACCACUUAACAACAAAUUCAUGCACUUGACACUCACCAAUCGAAAUAAGGGAGUAAGUGCGUAAACGAGCCUUUAGGUGUUCCCCUCGAGAUCCUCUUGAAGGUCUCCUAGAGCACCUGAGUAAAUAGUAAUUGUCUAUUACACACUAUCGCUUAAAGCCCCUAAUUAUCGAGAAAGAUUGUACACUUGUACAAUCUAAGAAAAUUUCACGAAAAUGAGCCUUGAUUACUCGUAAAUCGAGGCUAAAAAAAUGGGGUUUUAAAACACAAGCGAAAUCUGAUUUUCAUCUUUGAAAUCAAGUGUAAAACGGUUUAGCAAUAUCAAAGGAAAAUAGAGAGUUCGCAACUCUCAAUUUCCUUUAAGUUCGGAAAUUUCAGAUUUGUCACCCAUACUUUGACAAAUCGUAUCUCAUUCUCUACAAGUCCAAAAUUGGAAACUUUAUACCGUUGGAAACCUCUUGGAAAUUACUAAAAGUUCUUAGAAGACACUUUUCCAUGAAUCUAAGUGGAAAGUACUCAAAAAUGAGCUUGAAAUCACUGUUCCAGAAUGUUCAGGAUUGAGUUGGGGUUGGUUUUUCGCUAACUUUGGAAAUUUGGCAGAAUUCACUCGUUGCAAACUAGCCCUUGAAAUUUAUAACUCAAUUAGAGGUGCAAGUAAGGUUUAGGGAAGAACAAGCGGAUUGAGAAUUGGAGUUUUGAGCACCGAGAUACGGUAGCUCGAAGUUGGAAAAAUUCAAGUCUGGUGAACAAUUUCCAGAUUUGAGUUUCCAAAAAUUGGAACCUUAGCUAAGUUUCAAAACGAACUUGGAUUGGUAUAAAAUUUUGCAGUAUGUUACUCCUAUAUGAAAGGUACCGCUCUAUCAAAUUUCAGGGAAAAAUACCUUCGGAAAGGUAGUUAAUUAAUCAUCCAAAGUUCAGGAAAAUUUCUAAAGCAACCUGUCUUUUGACUUCAUUUCCCAAUUUAAAUCGUUUAAUCAAGAAAGCUAUCCAACCAUGGUUCAUUUGUAAAAUAAAGGUCUAAGAUACAUCCAUGAUACCUUUGGUAAGUGUUUAGCAUCAAGAACUUCAAUUAAUAAGAUCACUCCCAGGUUUUGUCCCAAAUCAGUCCAAGUAUUUCGGUUUUUCCAAAACAGGGCAGUCCUCUUGUUUUGGUCACAACUCAGUCAAUUUAACUCAGAAUGGGGCAUGGUUUAUGUCGUUGAAAAAUAAAUUCAUAGGGCUAUAAUAUCACAGAAGAAAUCAUUUCAAAAUUUUGCACCCAACUAGUUCAAAAUCGAGCAUCAAUUUGCUGCCUUAUCACUUCAUUCCAGUUGAACAGAGCAACAUGACAGCGAUCUUAAAAUGUUUGGUUCGGCUCACUCACAAAGAAUCAGAACAUGCAUUUUAUCUCAAAUUAACGCCUGGAAUGUCUAGUUUCCAACGCCACCAACGGCACAUGAUUUUGACAUCCGAGGACGGAGUUAUGGCCGAAACACCACCGCUGGUCAGAGCCAUACGUGAACAGUUUCCAGAUUUGCUAGUUUCACAAAAAAAAAUUCAUUUGCCCAACCAAACCUCAUUAUUUUUCAAUGAAAAUUUUCACACAUCUAAUACGUCAUAUAAACAUCAGAUUCAACCCAUUAGAUCAUUAAAAAUUGGCCUUAAAAUGGCCGAACAAGGCAGGGGCAAAAUCGGAAACUUUUGCUUCUUGCACCCAAUGAAAUUUCUAUCAAUUACACACCAUUAAUCCAUCAUUUUAACCACUAAACCAACAAUAUAUCCACCAUCAAUCAUCAAAUCAGCAACAACCCAAGAGUGGGAGUUCAUAGAGCCCACCAUCAAAAUUUUCCAACAAUACAAGCUACCCAUGUGAAGAUUCAAGCUCAUAUGUGUAAUUUAACCUCCAUAGGACAAGUUUAGAGUGUUGGAUCAUUACCUGCUUUGGUGGUUGUUCAAGUCUGAAUUUUCGGCCCUUUGAAGCCUGAAGAAAACCGUGGAAAUGAAGCUCUUCUCCUUGCCUAAGUGAAUCUCCAAGUGGUUUGUAAGUUGGAUGCAAAUUUUGAGAUGAAAUGGAGGAAGAUUGGUGCAAGAAUGAAGAAGCUUUUCUUCCUUUCUUUCCUUUGCUGUUUGGUCGGCUGUUUUGGUGUGAAAAUGGGAGUUCUAGCCGUGCACAUAAGGUGAGAAAAGAAGGGUUUUGAUCUGGUGUGAUGGGUCCACUAAAAGCUUAAGAAUGUGUGGACAAAAUUGCUCCAAAAGUCAACUAAGGAUAGUGCGCGAACGCGCGCGUUUCGUGCUCGUUUCCUCUCGGGUUUGUUUCACUUGUGCACUAAACCUCUAAUGCACUUCCAUUCAUACUAUUAUUAUUCACUUUUAAUAGUCUAAAAUAACGGUCUUAAAUCCCUUAAUUGAUCGCGCGCGUAAAACGCGUAUUUCCAAUUUUGCGCGAUAACGUUUAACUUUUAAAAAAAAUUCUUAUAACGAUUGUAUUACUAACUAAUACUUGAGCACUUAAACAUAAAAAUACCUAAUUUGAGACUAAUGUACAUGUCUCUAAUUUUUUCCAAACUUAUUGUAUCCUCGAUUCAAUUAUUUAUUCCAAUCGCAUAUUCACUAUUUUUACUUAACGAGUCUUCAGAAAUUAAAUUUUGAAACAAGUCACUUUAAAAAUAUAACUAACCCAUAGAUCCUUUUAAUUAGGUCUAAAAAGGUUAGAAAAUAAUAUUUGGGGCGAUUGGCCAAAUAAAUAAUUAAAUGAGCUGGAAUUUGGAGUUUAAAAUAGGUAAAUUUUUGUGAGUCUUUACAUGAGUCGAGUAUUAAUUCCUUAAUGAACCUUUCUUAAUCUACCAUUGAUCAUUGUUAACUCUCUAAUAUCAAUACACUCUCGAUUCAAAUAUAGUCUCGAAAAACAUGCACUCGUUGUUCCAAACUAAACGAGUUUUCGAAAAGUGAAUUUUUCUUACAAAACGCUUUAAAAAAUAUAAAUGAGGCGUCGUUCCAUAUAAAUGGAUUUUAAAUGAUCGAAAUAAAUAAUUUGGAGAAAAAUGAGUAAAUAAAUAUUUAAACAAACUACCAAUAUUCGGUAAAAAAAAAAAAUUUCGAGUCCUCACAGUUACCCUAGACGUAUCUUCACCUUUAUCUCUUUGAGCGGCUUGGUGAGCAUCAAACAUAAAUCCCCUAAUAGGGGCAUCUAAUUAAUCUUCAGUCCCAUCCGGUUCAAGAUUUUCAAGUACCACAUCUUCUUCCCCCAUAGCUCGUACAUUAUUCUUGUUAGGAUCCAAUCACGAAAUAAUCAACUAUUGAGAUAUCAAGUACAUAACAAUUUAAUGACAAACAAACCACAAGCAUGAAAAAUAAAAGACACGUAAUAUUUAAUAUGGUUCGAUUUCACCAUUGAGCCUAUUCCACGGAGAGAAACUCGUUCUUUAUUAUGAGAGGAAAACCCUAUAUAAGAAUAUAACUUGAACCCAAAUCUAACCCCUGUAUACCAUCUCUCAUCUCCCAAGAACUCUCUUUCACCCCCAUGUAUAAGGCUAGCCCUUUUGUGUGCCCCUUAUGUGUCUUUGUGUAGUAUGCAAAUCCAUCCAUUUAUAGGAAAUAUUAUUUGACCAAAACUCAAAUAACAACAAGAAACCAAUUCUAAUUUCUAAAUUUACAUAGAAUAGGAAAUAACUUCUAAUCCUAAACAAAAUAGGAAAUUCUUUGACUACUAUUUCAAAUAACUAAAAUUAAUUAGAAAACUAGUUACUUUCACACAAAACAAGAACCCUACCUAAAAGAAAUUGAACCAAUUUUCUAACAAAUCUCCAUCUUGGUGAAAAUUUCUUUUAGCAACCAUUUGUCUUCAACUACCAAAUAAUAUGGUAUCGAAUUACGCAUUCGAAUCAAUACAGUCUUAAUACCAAAUUGAUUCAAUCGACAAAUGAAUAUAUGUAGUUACCUAGAAUCCAACCUCCAAUUGACUCGUAAGAAGGUGUCUCAAUUCACCGUCUCCCUAUGUAACAUUUUUUCUAAUCACUACUUGCAACCAGGGAUUCCCUUCUAUGAGCUCUAACGCUAAAUAUUGAGAAAGACUAACUCCCAACAAGGUUCGACUUUACAGGAGAAAGAAGCGUCGAUAAGGGAACCGCCUUCAAGGAAGAUUUCAGGAAGCAUUUAUUCAAUAAGAUUGAGUGGAGAUUUCUUGAUAAAUGAAGUGGUAAAGUCACCAUACUUUUUCCCAUUCUCAAGACUGUCUCGCCACGUAUGGUUUUCAAGACUCCACCUAAAAUGAAAAACUCGAAACUAUCAGAGUCUUCUGGUGAAUGGAAAUUAAAUCUCUUUUUUUCUUUACAGCACAUGCCACACUACCCAAAAAACAUAACCAAAAUCUAAAAUCCAUCGGGAUGAAGUAUCAACCGUUGGAAGUAUGGGAAAGUCUUCAUCGAUUCAUGUCCAAAAUCAACAUUGGACUCCAUCUUUUCCUUGACCAUUGAAUCAGCUACCAAUCCAUUUGAUCUCAAUAGUUACCCAGGAUCCAAUCAUGAACAACCAAACUCUUGAUCCAACCAUUCGGUUUGUUGGGAUCCAAGUGCUUGUGAGCAGCCCAAUUUUCACAACCAAACUCUGAUACCACUUGUUAGGAUCCAAUCACGAAAUAAUCAACUAUUGAGAUAUUAAGUACAUAAUAAUUUAAUGACAAACAAAUUACAAAUAUGGAAAAUAGACGACACACAAUAUUUGAUGUGGUUCGACCCCACCAUUGAGUCUACGUCCACGGCGAGAAACUCAUUCUUUAUUAUGAGAGGAAAAUCCUAUACAAAAAUAUAACUUGAACCCAAGCCCAACCUCUAUAUACCAUCUCUCAUCUCCCAAGAACCCUCUCUCACCUCCAUGCAUAAGGCUAGCCCUUUUGUGUGCCCCUUGUGUGUCUUUGUAUAGUAUGUCAAUCCACCUAUUUAUAGGGAACAUUAUUUGGCCAAAACCCAAAUAACAACAGGAAACCAAUUCUAAUUUCUAGACUUGCAUAGAAUAGAAAAUAACUUCUAAUCCUAAACAAAAUAGGAAAUUCUUUGACUACUAUUUCAAAUAACUAAAAUCAAUUAGAAAACUAGUUACUUUUACACAAAUCAAUACUCCUACCUAAAAGAAAUUAAGCCAAUUUUCUAACAAAUCUCCACCUUGACGAAAAUUUCUUUUAACAAUUUUUUGCCUUCAACUACCAAAUAAUAUGAUACCAAAUUACACACUCGAAUCAAUACAGUCUUGAUAUCAAAUUGAUUCAAUCGGCAAAUGAACAUGUGUAGUUACCCCGAAUCUAGCCUCCAGUUGACUUGUGAGAAGGUGUCUCAAUUCACCGUCUUCCUUUGUAGGAUUUUUUCUCACCACCACUUGCAACCGAGGAUCCCUUUCUGUGAGUUCUAACUCUUAACAUUGAGGCAACCAAGUAGUAAAAUCACCAUAUUUCUUCCUAUCCUCAAGACUGUCUCGCCACAUGUGGUUUCCAAGACUUCACAUAAAAUUAGAAACUUGUAAUUGUCUGAGUCUUUUGGCACAUGAAAAUUAAAUCUCUUUGUUUCUUUAAGACACGUGCCACACCAUCCAAAAAACAUAACCAAAAUCUAAAAUCCACCGGGAUGAAAUAUCAACCGUUGGAGGUGUGAAAAAGUCUCCACCGAUUCACGUCCAAAAUCAAUAUUGAAUUCCACCUUUUUCUUGACCCUUGAAUCACUUGCCUAGAUUCACCGUAUAUCUCCAUACUUUUCGACUUUCUAUCCUUCACCAUCAAAUUUUCCCAAGCCAUUGAAACAAGAAUACCAGUCAUUAAAUUGUUCAAUUAGUAACAGCUACCAAUCCACUUGAUCUCAAUAGUUAACCAAGAUCCAAUCUUGAACAACUAAACUCUUGAUCCAACCAUUCAGUUUGUUGGGAUCCAAAUGCUUGUGAGAAGUCCAAUUUUGCAAUCAAGCUCUGAUACCAUUUGUUAGGAUCCAAUCACGAAAUAAUCAACUAUUGAGAUAUCAAAUACAUAACAAUUUAAUGACCAAUAAGCCACAAACAUGGAAAAUAGACGGCACAUAAUAUUUAACGUGGUUCGACUCCACCAUUGAACCUACGUCCACGGAGAGAAACUAGUACUUCAAGUAACUAAAACCAAUUAGAAAACUAGUUACUUUCACAUAAAACAAGAACCCUACCUAAAAGAAAUUAAGCCAAUUUCCUAAUAAUUCUCUUGAAUACUGACAAUAUCCCUUUGCUUUCUUUUUGGUGCCAUCCUGCAAACACAAAUUAGGUUAGGGCAAAAUCUACCUACACUAAGCUACCCAAUCCUCAACUGGUAGCAACAGGUAUUUGAACACGAAAAUCAAAACUAAGUCAAUCCACACUAAGGUUGGCCACCUGAAGUGUAAAUCAACUAAUUCCAAUAUUCUAUCCAACAUACACACUACAUUACAUCAAACUUUCAAUAAAUAUUCAUUCUUAAGGUACUAUAAGUAAGAUUCACACCUAGGCUCUGAUACCAAAUAAAUGUCACGCCCCAUGUCUGGAAUUUAACACCGCCACGCCCUAGACAAUGCUAAAGAUGUAAGCCAACAAAUUUCCAAAAUAAAUAUAUUUACCUUUAUAUAAACUUUCUAAAUCCGCAAAUACAAGAUCAUCCAUAACAGCAAUUUUGCGUCUUUCAAAAUAAAAGCAAGAUCAAACCUUCUACAAUAUGUACAAUAUUCGAAUCCUAUUAUAAGGUAUCUAAUAUAGAAGUACAAAAGUUAUCCUCUAACCAAAAGUCAUCUCCAUCUCCAUUACCACUCCCAAGUUCUAUCAAGGUCCACUUCAAUGAACUCAUCAUUAACUGCAUAAUUAUAACAAAGGGGUGAGCGAAAUCUCACUCAAUAAGUAGCACAUGUAUCUCAUUAUUGGCCUGAGCAUGUUACAUACAUAAUAUAUAUUUCAAACGCCAUUAACUUACACAUAUAACUUUAUAAGAACAUGGUCAUUAUAAACAUUUCAAUGGCAUAUCAUACAUCACACACAUAAAGGAGCUCAAACCAUAAGACAACAAUUGACCCUGGAUAUCUAGUUAUUAACUUAAUCGGUUAACACGGUUCAUAGUGCUAACUACAAUACGAUUAGCCUAUUUCAUAUUGCUAAUGACAACACAGAUAGAUUGUUUCAUAUACCAACUACUUGUGAGGAACUAGUCCCGUCAAAAGUCGCUUAAACAAGAGCUCAACAAACAUAACAUUUCAUUUUACAAAUGACCAUGGCAAGAGUAAUAACAAAUAUCACAAAUUAUACUUGGUCCUGCCACUUUAGCAAUUAGACAAGUAGCUUUCAAAAUUCAUCUUUCAAAAGAUAAAGGAUACGUGCAUCACUUACCUUGAUCCAAUGGAUACCCACGCUAGUUCAAGUAAUCAAAAAAAUGGCUACCUUAUUCAUCUAGACAUAAUAAUAAAAUAUUCAAUUACAAUCUUAAAGAUACUAAACUACUCCAAAUUAUCAUAAAAAGGAGUCUAAUACUACCCUUAAUGACUAAUUCCCAAAAAAGGAUCAUUUCCUCAUCAAAGCAGGACAUAAGGGUUAAUUUUAAAGGGUCACUAACUUUAAGAAAUAUAGAAACAUGGCAAGAUAUUUACACAGAGUUAAAGCCCCCUGAAUCUAGUUUCCAACGCAACAAACAACACCUAAAUCCGAGUUUCCUACAUCAAGUUAUGGCCAAAAAACUGAAAUAUGGCUGUACAGAAAAUUUAAUCCAUCCGAGAAUUAUAGCCAAUCCAUCUAAGGAUUAUAGCCAUGGAUUUCUAGCACGUUUUCAAGGCAAAAACAAGUUCCAAAUUUGAUAAUCAAGUUCCAUUUCCAUCUCAAAUCAUCUUCCAACCUCCAUAGUUGUCAAAAUCAACAUAUUUUAGCUCCCAAAGUCAUGCAAAUACAUAAACAAUCUUGAAAAUGAAUUGUUAGCUCAAGUAAUUCUUUCCCUCAACAUUUCUCCUUUUUAUAUUGAUGAUAGCCCUAUACCCAUAUGAAAAUAGAGACCAAAACAAACUUUAUACAUCAUAGCCAUGGAAGUUAACCAAAAAUUUGAACCAAAUACUACCCAAUCAAAGAAAACCAAAAUCAUGUUCAAGGUUUCAUGAAAAUAUGUUGGUUAGUUGUCAAAGUAGAAUCUCCUUACUCCUCACUCCUUACUUGUGCUUGAUUUGUCAAGAAUUCUUCUUGAUUGUAAGGAAAAAGGAGAGAAAUAAGAAAGGGUUUUGUUGGAGAAGGAAGGAAGAAAGGAAAUGAAGAAGAUGAAGAAAUUUUUUGACAAGGAUGAAUAGUGAAAUCUCACUAUCACUUUAUUCUUUCAAAAUUUCACUUAUUAACACAUUGGUCACUCAAUUUAACAUCUUUCACUUUUCACCACUAAAUAGUAUUUCUUCGCAUAAAAUUCUCUACAAGACACUUGGGUAUCACAAUAAUUGUUAGGACCAACAAUUCUUAUAGACUGUCUGAGACAACAGUAUUCAUGGAUAUAAAUGAAAGCAAGAACAUUUGAUAUAGCGCUAGGGAUUUUCGUAUCAUCCUUGACAUUUAUAUGCAUCUCUUCUAUUUGGAUAUUUAUCUACAGCGAGUCUUUCUAUCGAUAAUGCCCAACUAAAUAAAAAAGAAAAGACAAUUUGCAUUUUUUCUUUUUUCUCUUUUUUUUCCCCAAUGUGUCAAACAGCAAGAAUGGUAACCUCCUGUUGGAUCCUUAAUCCAACGUUGGACUUAUAUGUGAAUAAUUAUGUAUUUCAAACUAUCAAAUAAGGUUAAAUUCAAUUAAAAUGAUCAAAUAUGAUUUGGACUUAAUGUAUCUAAUAAGGUGUGGGUCUUUAAUGUGUAGAGACUUAAAGGUAUUUUCUAUUUCUAUGAUGGAUUGAAAUAUGAAUCUAAAAGAUAACGGGAAUGCUAUCUAUAAAUAGGGAUAUGGUCCCAGGUCACAAGUAUUCUUAUUGUCAUAUUUUCUAGUACCACAAAACAGUUUUUUCCUAAUAUCCCAUCAUCAGAAAACAUACCAGAGAGAAACUAAAGUGCUCUCUCAAGAAUUGGUAAAUACGUGUUGACUUAGAAGGCUAUCCUAAAAUCUUCAAGGAUUCAAGUGCCAGUUUGUUAAUAUGAAUUUAGGUACGCUUCCGCAUUUAUAUUACAGUUCUAUUCAAAUAUCUAAUAUUGGGAUUCUGGAAAUUCCUACACCUUCUCCCUUUGAAAUUUCAGAGAACAAAACCAAAUAUUUCAUUCCUACUAAGUUAUGGGCACGCAUUACAUCAUUCCUACUAAAUUUAACUAUCUUAACAACUUAGAAAAAGCUAGCUACAUAUACAUUGUCUUCUUACAUAGAUAAAAGAUAUGCAGGGCAUAUAGAAAGAUCGUCCAAAUGGGUUUAAUUUGCUGCUUUUAAGCUUGACAUUUGUAAGACUUAUGACCGGAUAUCAUGGCAAUUUCUAUAGGCUGUUCUAAGAAAAAUGGUUUUUCCAGAAUCCAAGAUUAAUAUUGUUUUGAAGAGUAUCUUUUUUGUCCCUUACUCUAUCAUAGUUUUUUUUUUUUUUUAACUUAGGGUUAUCCGAACUUUUUGGCCAACUAAUUCCCUAAAACUGUGUAGAGUCUUAUUCUAAGGAUACAUAGUAAGAUAGUACACAGGAUUCGAUUACGGGACAUGUUAGUAACUAUCAAACUACGGAAUCAGUCGAACUACCCGCGGGGCACUCAAUCGUAGUUAAUGGAGUACUAUCAUCGGUAAUAUAUCCUACCAGAGGCCUUCGCCAGGGAUGCCCCCUCUGAGCAUCAUAUCUCUGCUUUAUACCAAGAGGCAUUGUCAGCUGCAUUAUGUUCUUUGGCAUCUAUAGAAUCUAUGUCCCCAAAUAUGAUUUUGAAAACCUAUACUUUGACUUACAAAAUCUUAAUUUUUUUUCAAAUCCAAUAAAGAUGGAAGGGAAAUAAAAAUAAACGAAUAAAAAGAUGGAAGGGAAAUAUAAAAAAAAAUAAGAAACAAAAAAUACAAAAUCUUUUUUUGACUACAAAUAUCAUUAUAAGUUUUUAAUCUAAAACUUUAAUGGUAUUUUCUAUUUCUUUUUUAUCUAUUUUUUUAUUUCAAUUUCUUCCUUUUUAUGUUUAGAGGAAAAAAUAAGCAACGAAAGGAUAAAUUUAUCAAUUUAUUAAUUUGAUUUUGCAUUUUACCGCUGACUCUAAGUUUUAAUGAAAAAACUAAGUCACAUUUUAUUUCAAAUCAUGAGGAGGUUAUAUAAAGUUUUCAUACCGUAGGAUGGUUAUGUUGUAAACCACCAAACCAUACGGGGUAAAAGGUAAUUUACCCAUUAAUCUAUGCCCACUAAGUUUCGUUGGAGCUAUAAUGCAUGAAAAAAAAAAGCAUGCGCUUUUCAGCAAAAUGGGGACAUAGACAAAACGCAAAUUUGAAAGUUUCAAUCUCAUAAACAUAAUAACCACCGGAUGUUUUCAUUCAUUCAUAGUGAAAACAAGAAGAUCCGCAGUCCUAGUUAAGCAAGCAAAGCUUAUGAGUCAGUUCAUUCAAAAACUUUCGGAAUUACCUGAAGAAUGAUGAGCUUUGGUGAUACUUUUUUCGGCAAACUGCAAGCUUUCUACAAUUAAGGUUGGAAUAAGAUUGGAUACAAACGUCCUCUUUAAAUACGAGACAUCAGUUUGUAAAGAGGAAGUUAUAUGGUUCUCUUUGGGAAGCUGCAAAUUUUGGUGAUUUGAAACCAAUUUGAAAAUUGACAAAAUUCGUGCUUUCCUUGGCAGCUACUGGCUUUGAUUGAAAGAGAUGAUCUUGGCAAUGGCUAUAUUGAGUCAAAAUCAGACCGUAACGAUCUUGGCUAUGGAAUUUGGAAUGUUUUGUUUCCACUUUCCAAAUGGUAGUUGGCUUGUUGCAAGAAAGAAGAAAAAUUGCAGUGGUCUUCAUUGGCAAAGUUUGAUAAUAUCAUGGUCAAAAUAUCUAAUUGCUCACGUGGGACAUCUUUUUGUAAGUAUUACUGUAUUAGUUGUCUUUUAACUACUUGUUCUAAUUUAUAGGUCAGGCUUUCCAUUAAGGAAUUGAAGCCACCGCCUUGCACUCCAAGGUGGUUCUGUGCACUAAUCAAAUUGAUUUAGAUGCAUUACAGGGUUAGCAAACAAAGUUGUGGGCUUUCAAAUGAUUCUAAUGGAAUUUACUAAUGAAAAGUCUUGCAACUCAGGACUCGUACUUCAAGCUUUGUGUUUGGCAAUUGUCAACCAAUGCCUUACCAAAUCUUAAAGCGGGCAUUUGCAGAAAAUAAAAAUUUUAUUUAAUUUAUUUAUUCAAGAUUUAAUAAAUUAAGUUGAUUUUAAUUAAACUAAAUUAAAUUAUGAAAGUCCUUUAUUUUUGAACUAACAAAUUGGACCAGUAUUAUGUGGGCUGUAAAAUCAAUUAAAUAUGCAAGGUCCAUUGAAAUUAAAAUGGAUUAAUGGAAUCAUUAAUUCACAAUGGACUGUUGGGCUAGCUUAUUACUAAAAUCAAUAUUAAAUAGAUUUCAAAUUGAACCAGUAUUAAACGAAUUGUUGGGCCAGCUUAUUGUUAAAGCUUUUCACAUAUAUUGUUAUAAUAAAAUAUUUCAAAACAUCCGUAAAAAUAGUUAAUCCAAACAGAGACAUGGUUUUUUUAUAUUACUUUAAUUAAUUUUUUUUUUCUUCUUUGGCUGCAAAAAUUACGCACCACCAUAGGAAUAAUUCACUUAAUGAACUUCGGAGGUCUCUGACUAAAAAUAGCGGAGCAAUCAUUGAUGGCAAUUUGGCAAUGGAAAUGAUGGCAUUUGACCAUGUUAUUAAUGGCACUUUAGAUCUAGCCUCAAAAAAUGCUGAUUCUAAACAUGAGGAUGGUUUCUUAGAAAAAGGUUGUCCUCUUUGUUCUCUUGCUACGGUAUUUGAAGACAAUCACUAUACGCAAGCAAAAAUGCCUAAUCCCUCCUUUCACUCAGUCGCUUCAUUUUUCUUCAUUUCUCACUUGUUUGUUUUUUGGAUUUAUAGAAGAAGUGCCUUUUAAAUUUACAGAACAAGAAGAAGAUGAUGAAUGCGAGAGAAAAGAACCCUGUGGUCAUAGCACAUUGUGCUUCCUAAAUUGCCCCUUCAUUAUGUCUAGUGAAUCACACAACGGUGGAAUCUGACAGAAUGACUCAGGAUCAAAAUACAUACUUUAGAUAGUUUAGUAGCCAAAAUCAAAUUGUUAAUAGUUCAGUGACCAAAACUCAAUGAUAGCAAAAGUUUAGUGGCUAAUGAGGUAAUUUGCUCGAAAAAUAAUGAUAGAAGCAGCGAAGGGUGAAAUUUGGAUGUUCAUGCUACUGAGAAAGUUUUUGUAUGACUGAUUCCCUGGAGAUUGCUAUCACUUGAGGUAGGGGAAACAACAAUGGAGGCUCUCUGUCUUGGAGGUGUCUGAAGCAAAAAGUCCUGGGCAGAAAUGUGAAACAAAAUCUGAAUUGUGGGCUUGUGUUUGCUGCUGAUGACUGUAUUAUUGUCCACCGAAGUCUUCCGCCCAAACAAGGUGACCCUCCUAUUAUCCCUGCCUCAUUAUCUACUUCAUGUUUUGCUUCUACUAACUCCCCUACCACAUAAAACGAGUUUUGGGUCGAGGGUUAGGUUAGGGCGCUAGAACUCGAGAAGGGGAUGAAGAAGAUUGAAGCUUCUGUGGUCUGGAGCUUAGGAUUGAGGAUGCUGGAGUUGGGUUUGCGUUUUGCCCGCCAAUGAUCACCCUGAGUUGCUUAAUUUGGUAGAGAAAAAUCAGAACAUGGGAGUGGCCUGGAGGCAGGUUACUCCAUGCCAGCGACCUAAUUAAUAUUGAUAUGGGUAAAAUACAGUAAACCCCUCUAUGGUUAGGAAAAUAAAUAUGAAACUCCCUCAUUGUUUAAAAAUACCCAUUUAACCUCCCUUGUGCUUUGAACAUCUUUGGAUUUUGACUGCUAACAGGUUGGGAAGCCAGUAAUAAUAUAAAAUACCAAAAAUACCCUCAUUUAUAAUAUCUCAAAAGGCACAGCUGCAAUUAGUAGAUCUUGAGUGGUACUUCAGGUGCAGAGAGAGAAAGUGGAUGAAACCCUAAACCUAUAGCACUAUCUUCUUCCAUGACAUCAAUAAACUACAGAAUUUUCGUGUGUAUCUCACAGAUGAAGAAGGCAUUUUUGUGCAGAUUGAUCGAGGGUUGCGAAGCAUCGAGCAUAGCGAUUAACAAGGUAAUCUCAUAUCUGAACCCUAACUUUACUUGUGUUGAUUGGUUUCAUGGUAGACGUUUGGUAGUAUAUUGUUGGAGAUAUUUCGAAACUUGGUAAAAGAAGUGAUAGCUCUGGCUUAGUCAAAAGUAUUGUCGACAAUCUUUAUCGAAAAAAUUUAUAAAAAAAAUUGCUAAGUAUGCAAAAAGGAGAAAAGAAUGGGUCUUUGCGGAGUAAUCUAGACUAUUGUGGUCAAUACUGGUAUUGAUUAUGUUUUUUAACCUUUUAGAUGAGUGUGUUAAUGUUGACUAUGCUUUUUUGAAACUAAAAGUGUAUGAAAUAUUGCCUGUCGUUUUCGAUACAUCUGAAAAUUAAAUUAGUAAAUUUAUCUCUGUUACUUUGGUUUAGAUGUAUAAGAAUGGAAGAUAAUCUGUUUAAGAGUAUAGACAUAUACAUGCAUUAUGGUGGAAAUUUCAAAUGAAACUGAGAAUUAGAUACACCGGCGAACAAGUGAGGAUAUUUUGUGGAUGGAACCCUGAUGAAUUUUCUCCAUUUGACUUUCAAAAGAUGUAUGACACAAUUGAGUGUGGUGUAAGCAAUAUGAAUUUCUAGUACUCUAUCCCCUUUCAUGACCUUGAUGUUGGUGUUGUUAGUAUUAAGGAUGAUGCCGACAUCGAAUUAUUGACAAUAUGUUAUGAAAGGCUUCCAGAAAUACACAUAUAUGCUGAGAAAGGGCCUGAACCCAUUGAAGUUGUCUUUGGAUGAAUAAUUAUUGUACAAGAAAGUGACUGGUGAUAGCUUACUUGCACUUCCAUUUCGUGAUAAUUGGCAAUUGGUGUGUUCAGAUUGGAUUAUCCGCAUUUGUUAAAGGCAGUGAUAACUUUGACCCUACAAUUAUUGGGAAUGAGUACAAUAAUGAUAUUUCACAUAUUAACUAUAGAAGAAAAGGCAUCUGUGAUGAAGUGUCAUCACAAAUGGAGUUGGAUCCAAUUUUUGUGGGACCACAUAGAGAGCAGAUACAUGAUUAAACUAAUAAAUCCAAGUGGAAGAAAACAAUAAAUGGUAAAAAAACUGAGUGGCAAAGAGUAAAAUUAACUGCAAGGAAGUUAGUCCAGCAGUUAGUUAAAGAGAAGGAAAAAGUUGAUACAACUACAGAGGUCUAGCAGUCUCCCACAAGAAAUUCAGCAGAAGAAACAACAUUUGGGACAGAUCCAACAGAAGAAACAACUAAUUUGAGGGGAGAAAAAAUAGCUGAUGAAGGUGGAGAGAAAGAUGAUGUCGUACCAGACUAUUUAGAUCUCCCGGACUGGCUAAGAGAAGGACUAGAAGGGCCUAAAGAUUAUGAUAUAUUUGCAGGCUUAAAUGGUCAAGAAUCAACACAGGCAUCUAUUAAUUCAGGAUCUAUAAAUUUUGUUAGAGUUGGUUCAGAGUAGCAACAAGAAAAUUAGCAAGCCAAAGCUAGAAAACAAGCUGGUAUAGAUCAACAACAAGAAAAUUAGCAGGCCUAAUCCAGAAAACAAACUAGUUCAGAGUAGCAACAACAACAUCAGCAAUCGAAAUCAAGAAAACAAGCAAAGAAACAGACCCAUGAAGAGAGGAGUCAACCAACACCAGGUGUGGAUGAUAGAUGCCGUGUCAAUGAGCAGGAAGAGAACUGGAAUGACCUAGUAAAGGAUGAUGAAAAGCUAUUUGACAAUGGGAUAAGAUCUGAUGAAGAAAGCAUCCCUGUUUAUAGUUACUUCAAUGCGGAGAAAAAGUUUAGGAAAGAGCACUUUGAACUAAAGGUUUGACAGAAAUUUACUAGCUUCUCCAAAUUUAGGGAGACUUUAGAGGAGUGGGAAAUUAGGGAGGGUAUGAGCACAAAUACAUCAGAAAUGAAGGCUCUCGAAUCACAACUAAAUGUGCGAAGGGGUGCAGUUGGAGAAUUCAUGCAUGCAGAAUCCAGAGAACAAAGACUUUUAUGAUCAAAACUCUUAAGCGAGAGCACCAUUGUGGUAGGGAUUAUAGCAAUAGACAUGCUACUUCAACAUAUCUAAGUGAAAAAUUUCAGGCCAAGGUGAGGGAUGAUUGUGGGUGCAGUACUCCGGGCAUAGUAAAUGAGACAAGAAGACUAUUUAUGUUAGACAUUAGUGGGAAGAAAACUGCCAGAACAAAGCAGAAAGCAUUAGAGGCACUUAGGGAAAAUGACAUGAAGCAAUAUCACAGGCUUUGAAAUUGUGUAGCCACUGUAAAAAAGUCCAAUCCUGAUACUCAUAUUUCACUGCAAAUUGAUAGGCAAAGUGUUGAGGAAAAAGCUACAUUUCAGAGGAUAUACUAUGGAUUAGGUGCUCUGAAGAAUGGUUUUUUAGAAGGUUGCAGACCUAUAAUAGGACUAGAUGGCUAUUUCCUAAAGAGUCCCUUUGGAGGUUAGCUGCUUACAGUCAUGGGUAGGAAUGCCAAUGAAAAUAUGUUUCCUAUUUCCUUUACUAUUAUUGAGGUAGAGAACUAUGACAACUGAUAAGUGACUAAUUUACGUAAUAAUUGGAUGAUAUUUUAUAUUAUUUUUAGUCACUUUGGUUAUAUUAUUGGAAUAAAAUGAAUCAUUUUGGCUAUAAUUGGUGAAAAAUGCUUUUAAGUAAUUAAAUGAAGUUUUUAUCAUUUUUUACUUGGAUUUUGUGCAUUUUGACAUAUUUUUGUAUUUUGGCUAUAACUUGAGCUAAAAUGAUCGGAUUGAGAGAAUUCUUAAACCAAUUUGAAGAUAAGAGAUAGAUCUACAACUUUGGUGAAGACAUCUGAAUCCAGUUUGAAGGUUUUCCAGGUCAAAAAGCCUAAUUACAGUAGCUAAUUUCCAUUGAUCGAAGCUGAAACAGAGCAAUGAGCAGUCAAAGGUGUUUUGGUCAUUUUGCAGCCUACACAGAUCCAAAUGAGGUGAUUCUUGAUGCAUUGGAAAGCUAACCCAAGGGGCUACAAGUUUUAUGUUUUGGUCAACGGCUAAAUAAGCUUUUAUCAUCAAGAAAAGUUCAGUUGAAGUUGAUGCAAAAGUGGAGCAGAGCUGGAAAUUGAACAAAAGUGCACCAAAAUGUCACUGUAGUAAUCCGGCCGGAACUUGGCUGGAUUUGUGGCCGGAUUUGUGGCCGGAUUGUGGUCAAAGAAGGCUGCUCUUUACGCGAAAAACUCAAUUUCACCUCUACUAAGUCACAUGUAAUACUAGACAUGUGAGAAACAUUACCAGCUGUAAAAGGGAAGUGUAGGCCUCAUUUUCUUGACUUCCUUUGUCUUGAAAUAGUCAAAUCUUGCAAGCAGAAUGGGAUCAUCAUAUGGGAGAAUAGAGAGACAUACGGGAGAAACUUGGAGUCUGCAAAAAUGUAAUUCUUCCAUUUUCCUUAGCGUAGGAUAGUUUUAGUUUUAGACAGUUUAUCCUUUCUUGUAUGUUAGCUACAUGAAGAGGAAGAUGGAGGAUGAAGAAGGCAAGAAAAUGAACUCAUGUGACAAGGGUUACAUUCCUUCCAAACUCUUUAUCUUUUGUACUUGAUUUUAUUGUUUAGUUAAUAUACAAGUCUGGAUUUUAUGUUAUUUAUGUGUCUCUAAAAUUUAUGCCUUGGGUUUGGUUGAACUUCCUAUGAUUGUUAGUGUUUAUUAUUUAACUAUUUGAUUGCUAUGAUUUGAGCAAGUUAUUUAGUACUUUAGCUCUUUAAAAUCAUGAUUAAUCUGGUAUCAUUGAUUGUGAUUAUCUAAGGUGUCGUUUUUGCAAUGAAAAUUGAGAUUUAAUACUAUUUCAAGAAGUGCUAAACACAGGGAGUACACUCACGAAAGUAGAGGUGCACCUAUGUGGUUUUUAGUGAUUCAUUUCAUGUAAUUCACUGAAGAAAUGAACUUGUAGCUAAUUUCAUAACCAUGAGAAUAGGUAUGGAUUAGUUAUAAGUAUAAUUGAUUUACUACGAAAGUAGGAUUCAAAUGCAUAAGGAAAUUACACCAUAACUAGCCUAGAUGUAGUACUCAAUGAUCCAAAUAUAGCACUUGCAUGAGUAGUUAGGGAUACCACAACCUAAUGAGCUUUUAUUUGUUAUUUUGUAUAAUUUCAGUAGGUUAAAUUUGUUAUAAUUCAUUGAUAGUCUAAAUAAUAGAGAAGCUUUAGUAAUACCGGUAAUUGUUCACUCUUCCCUGUGGGAUCGACCCAAUAUAUACCCAAAACUACUAGUUGACCUGUAUACUUGCAGUGAACGGGUGUAAUUCGAUUUUUUUUUAACUUGUACGUAUAUUAAAAUCCCGUCAACAACUAGAGCUAGUUUUUGAGAGAAUUAAUCACCCAAAUUGGAGAAGGAAACAAAGGAAUGGCUUACACUUUCAUUUCGGAUAGGCAAAAGGGUCUUGUCUAUGUAAUUGAGGCGCUGUUCCCUGAAUUAGAGCACAGCUUUUGCCUAAAACACAUGUUCAAGAACUACAAACAAAGAUUCAAGAAUCAAAACCUUAGAGACAUGUUCUAGGAAGUUGCUGCAGUAGCAAGUAUGCCAGAGUAUGAAACUGCCCUAUCAAAUCUUGAAAGGGUUGACCCAAAGGAAGGUGACAAACUAACAAUUGCAGGAUGGCUCAAACGGUUGCCUCUAAAGCUUUGGUCCAGAGCCCACUUUAGUACUAUUUGUAGAAGUGACACGUGCAUCAACAACAUUAGUGAGUCAUGGAAUAAUUACAUUCUAAAGGGUAGAGGUGAGCCAAUAAUAACAAUGCCGGAGUAGAUUCGGAGGAGAUUAAUGCAAAGGUUGGUAACCAAACGAGAGGGCAUGCUGAAAUAUAGCAGCACUUUAUGUCCAAACAUUCACGAGAAGUUAGAGAAACUGAAGAUAAAAGCAAGAAACUGUGUCGUGGUUUAUGGAGGAAAUAGGAAUUUGGAAGUUGAUGGCUAUGGAAGGACUAAUGUCAAUUUGGAUAUAAAGACAUGUACCUGUAGUCAUUUUCAACUUAGUAGAAUUCGAUGGGUGCAUGUGGCUGCUUGCAUUCAAAGCAGAAAGUUGGAAUUCGAGCAAUUUGUUGAUGCUUGUUACUAUAGGGAAGUAUAUUUAAGGGCCUAUAACUUCACAAUUGGUCUUGUUCUUUCGAAGCAAUUCUAGGUGGAUAGCAAAAUGCAGUAUUUGAACCCACCAUUGGUGAAAAAACAACCUAGUAGGCCAAAGAAACAGAAGAAGAAGGGUCCAAAAGAACCUACAAAUCAGCAUAAAGCAAGUAAGAACGGGUCUGGCAGUCUACUGGCCGAGGUGUUUGAAAUUUAGACAUAACAUUAGAACCUGCAAAUCAGCAAUUCACCCUAAGUCCAAGCUAUACAAGAUAAUGUAACAUUUCAGAACCAAAUCAUUUCUCUAUUUUGUUUUGUUGCUGCUUAUACAUCCAGCCAUUUCGAUGUGAACUAUAAGCACCUAAAUGUGGUCUAACAGUUUCAAAUGCAACAUUCUGGCUUCUGUAGCUCAGGCUAGUGUCGCAAGUACUACUGCUACUACUCUUUCACAGGUACUAGUUCUCAAUUGCCUAUUUUUGGGUAUUGUGACCUGCUUACACACUAAGCAGUGCCACUUAUAAGCAGGAACCAAGUUAGCCUAUAAGUGGUACCAAUCAAGAAAGCUAGAAGAGUAAAUCUUCAAAGAGGAAGCAACCAGCUACAGGAAUGUCAAGAUUGCAACAUUGUGGCUCUAAGAGACCAAAAACAUGAACUAUAGUUAUCUCUCUUUUGUUUGUCGAAUAUACUGGUUAUGUUAACCACAUUGAUCCCUUCUGGGAUUGAAUCGUAAUAUUUAUUGAAACUAGAAAACUCAGAUUUUGGUUAUGUUUUGGUAGAUUGAUACCAUUAUGGUAUGAAUGUAGUAAUAUGCUUCAUUUUUAUGGCAUUCGUGGCAGUAUUGCUGGUGACCCUUUUUGGGAUUGGAUUAUAAUAUUUACUGAAACUAAAAAACUCAAAAUUUUGGCCUUAUUAUGGUAUAUUGAUACCAUUGUGGUAUGGAUGUGGCAAUAUGCUAAUGGUAUCUUUGAAAUAGAUAGGUGAUAUCUUUACUAAAAAUGAUUUAAUUUGACAAGUUCAUUGCAAUGUAAUCUCCAGUCUUUCAAUUUUUUUGUCAUGUAUUUUUUAAAUGUCCUGCAACAAAACAAUGUAGCUUCAUUCGUUCAUCUUAAUUAAAACCAGAAUGUCUACUUCAUUACAUCCAAUUGAAACUAGAUGUGGCAACAUGUUGGACAUAACAAAAUCUACCAUUGUGCCCAACUCCCUCAUCUACUACACAUUUUUUAUACUAAUUUGUCCUGAACAUUCAUCUCAUACAUAUAACAACUAGUGACAAAAGAGACACAACUACAGACACCAUCAUCAUCAUCUUCAUUAGCCCCAUCAUUGUUUCGACAUUGUGAAUCUUUGACUGUAGUGUCUCAUAAUCAUAUUAUAGUUAUUACUUUCCAUCCCUUGCCCAGAGAUGAAAAAUCUUUCCGCCAUUGCAGAUCCAGUUGGUGAAACUCCUUCCAUGUAUGGAUUUUGGCAGGAUGAUUCAUUAGUGCCUCCCUCUCUACUAAUUGGGUUGCAUCAUGUCCAGAAUGAACAAGCACCAUUUUCACAUACAAAAUACAACAUAUCUUUUGAUGGUUUUUUAGAUUCCACUAUCUUAAUCUUUGCUUUAUUCUUGCAAAAACAUCAUCAAUUUUGGUACCUUAGCUUGACAUUUUCGGUUUUUUUCCUUGAACAAAGCUAUGUUGUGCCCUCCAAAGCUACGCUCUUAUGAUUUUUGUCUUAAUUUUGUGUCUCUCUGUCCAAUUUUUCCAUUUGCAGAAUAACAACUAUGGUGGGUUUCAUUUGUAAGAGACAUGGAGAGAAAAAUGGGAAUGAAAACUAGUCUCUUUCAGUCACAUGCGGCCAUUAGGUCGCAUCAAUGUCACUUGCUAGCUUCCUAGCCGGUUAGCAGGUAAAAUCCAAAGAAAUCCAAGGCACCGAGGGAGGGUUAAGUGGGUGUUUUUAAAUAAUGAGAGGGUUUUGUGUUUAUUUCCCUAACCAUAAGGGGGUUUACUGUAUUUUACCCUAUUGAUAUUGGUGAGGUGGAAUUUGGGGCAGAACCCCUCUAAGAAUUUGUGUUUCUCCCCAGUGUCUCAAGAGGUAAUCAGGCCCUGCUUGAAUUCUAACCCUGCUGGUAGACCUAGUUUGGAAGAACUAUUCAGGGUUAUUUGUUUAAGGACCUUAAGCCAUUUGAAAAGGUGGUAGGGAAAAUCUUUGAGGUGCGCAUUUUUUAUGGUAAGGGCACCUACAAACUGGUGAAAAUUCUUGGCCACCACCAGGGGGAAUGUCUGGUUUACCAAGCCAAGUAUGAGCCCAUCAAAAGCACUGAUCACUCUGUGGGUUUGAAGGUAAUGGAGAAGGAGAAGUGAGUUGCUCCAGCAAUCAGCUGAGAUCAGUGUGGAUGCUAAUUCCCAUCCGUGUAUCAUCGGGGUUAUAAACGAAUUUGCAAGCGGUACAAGUUAUUGUGCCUCGAUGCCCUUAUUUGAUAAGGGUUCAUUGAGGCUUCUUUCAAGGAAUCGAUGAAAUGAUGGUUGACCCGACGAUUGUAUUGCCCUGGUUCGGAUGGAACCCUUAAAAGGUCUUGGUAUCCUCCAUGAAAAUCAUAUGGUUCUCAAACGUGCCAGUCCAGACGAUAUUUUUUCUGUAGGAAUCCUUUAUGCAUUGCUUUGGGUCAUGAUGCAACUCUGUGUCAUGCUUGGAAUUCUGACAAUGCUAAAAAUUCAGUGAUAAAUUCAACGAUUGAUGAAUUCAGUCAUGCUUCAGAAGUCUAUGAUACUGGGGAGGCUUAUUCCUCGAAGGCUGACAUAUGGCUCCUCAGAUUAACUGCUUUGGAGUUGGCCUAUCACCGCAUCCCUGUCAAGACAAGAGCAGGCUUAAUGGUUGUUAUACAUCAAUCAAAACAAUUGUUUGCCUACAGGACUGAAGCACCGCUUGUCUAGGGAGAAACGAGACAGUUCGCCAGCAAUUUCGGUCACUUUGUCAGCCUAUGCCUCCCUGAAAAUCCAGCACAAAGACCAUUAGCUAUCCAGCUGUUGGAACAUCCAUUCUUGAGAAGUUGCACUAGUCUUGAAUGUUUCGAUAAGGUGCUUUAAGUAAUAUGGCCAUUUUGAAGCUUCUCCUCCCCUGAGUCUGCUUGAAGUAUUUCGUGUUUUCGACUUAUUGUUUUUGAUUCUUAAAGGUGCUCAAGUAAUGUGGCAAGUUUGAAAAGUUCUCCUGCCUAUGUUAAAAUGAGAAAUUUCAUAUUUUCGGUGUACUGUUUUUGUGCUCUUAAGUUUAUCUUGCUUACUUUUUGACAUCUUGUGAAAUUUAAGUAUUUAGAUUUUUUUUUAAAAUUUUGGGUUAAUUAUUGACCUUUUGAAAUUGAGAAUGCUUGGGUGUUGGUGUUAUAACAAUUUUUUUUGGGUUGCUUCUUCUCAAAUUGUUACUUGGGAGCUUUAUUUUCCCCUGAUAAGAAGAAGAUGAGGCAUCAACAAUUAUUAUCCCUGGCAAACCAACAUUUAUUUGCAACAUGUCUUAGUAUAAUGAUGGAAUAUUUUAGUGCCUUCAGAAUCAUAUUGCAUUUGGUUAUGCAGGUAAAAUUUUCAUAGGAAGGGGAAAAUUAAAAGUAGAAAUGCCUUUAAUAAUCAUUUCACCAGUCAAUAAUUCCUUCACAAUGCCAAUUGACAAUGGAUGUUGAAACUUUGAACGCAUAAAACUACUUUAUUGAGAGGCAAUUGGUGACAUUGUGUUUACUGAAGUGAUUCUUUGCAAUGCUACAGAACGUAUGAACUAGUUAUAAAACCAAACCGCAUUGAUAGCCUCUACUCGUGUCCUACCUCGUGAGAGCUAGAUUUGCUAAUACUUUGAAAAUUAAAGUUUUUUCACCAUUUUAUCAUUUUUGGCACUGACGGGCUAUGUUAUUGCAUCUGGAUAAUCCACCUAAUUCUAUCCUAAAAUUCUAUGCAGUUGUGUUUUUCUUCUUCAUCUCCUCAGAUCUUUUUUCUUUUUUCCCCCCCUUUCCUCUCUGUUUUGAACUUAUGCCUCAUGGUAUGCCUAACUUGCGACCUUCAUAAUGAUAUGGCCUAUUUCUUAAUGUCAGUUUGCUGGCGCCUUCAAGCAAUCUCAAGUUCUUAGGAUCAGAGAGUUUGUCCAAAAUGGUCUUAUUUCUGUAGCUCUUUUACGGAAUAUUCCAUUCUGCCGGAGCAGCAGACCUUUUGGCAAAAUGUACUUGUGGCUUCAAUGUUUUGGAGCAGUUAGUCUUGCCUUGUCCUUUUUUGCAAUAUCUGCUGGAUUUGAAUUCUACUUAACAUCCUCGAGAAAGAAGAACAACUUGUAGUUUCCACUCUAGACGUGUAUUAUUGAGGUUGACGUUAGUCUGUUUUAGUUCUUUGAUGCUUGCUAAAUUGUGUGUUCAGUGCUUUGUACGGUUGUGUGACUUUCUUCAAGCAAUCUGUGCAUUGUUGUUUUCUCAUUCAGAAAACUUGCAAUCCUUAAUAGUUGUAAGAAAUGGAUUUUCUGUCUCCUGAUUUCAAUUAAACAUGUAUGUAUGUGUAUCUAGUCUUUCAAAAUGGAGCUUCUGAAGUAUCAGCAUAUUUUACACUUGCAGACACUAAUUCUAGAAAAACUAGAGAUAAAUAUAUAGCGAGUUCUUUCAUCCUUGUAGUCACUGUGCUGACAACUUCCAAAGUCUCAUGAAGAGCUUAUUGUUUCCUAAAUUGUCCAUUAUGUUUGACAAUUGGCAGUAGUUCAACUUGAGGAUAUGUUGGCUUCUAGCCACUCUGGUAUCUUCAGUGCUUUAGUCUAGAUAUAUAUUGAACUCUUGCUAACAUCCUGUUCAGCUAGUUUGCUCGGAUAUGAGGUCGAAGUGGCCGGUGUGUAUCGUACUGCAGGAAAUCAGACAUUUGAUCCAGCGGAUGGGUGCAUCUCUUCACCAUAUAUUCCGUGAGGCCAAUUCGGUGGCGGACGCAUUGGCUUCUCUGCAAUUGGGAGGGCAGCAGUACUACAUCUCAGAUGCGGCUCUGCCUAUCAGGCCCAGAGGAGAGGCUCUUCUGGAUCGUCACGGAGUACCUCGGAUCCGUGAGGUGCUCACUAAGGCUUGAUUGUUUAUGUCCUCCCUUCAUAGAUCAUAUUUCGUACACUCCUUGUAAACAUUCUUUUUCUUAUCAAUAAAAUGAGACAAGUUGAAAAAAAAAAAAAGAAAAAAAAACUAACCAUUGACAGUUAAUUGCGUACUACGAAAGUAUACAACUAAUCUAUUUCUCUAUUGAAUCUUUCUUGUGGACCAAGAAUAAAAGCGUAGCUUGAUAAAGGCACUAUUAAACUUUGUACAACUAUAAAAUCUCGAAAGUUACCCAAAGUAUAAAUCAAACAACAUUGUUGUGAUUAUUAUUCUGCAUUUUCAUGAAGAGCAUGUCCGAACCUCAAACUUUUAACUAUUCUUGAUCACAGAUGAAACAGGAAGCUAAAAAACCAACUUUUUUUUUAGGGUGGAUCACUUAAAAAAUGGAAUGACAAUUGAUUUAGGGGUGCAAAGUUUAUUAUUUAUUGAAAGAUUUUCUUCAGAGCUCAGGCAACUUCAGCUGUCAGUAUUAUGAGGUCCAUUAAUUGUGGAUGAGAUACAACAUGUGGUAGUAGCUUGGUGGAAGAUUCCACUAACACAGUAACCUUGGAAAUUAGCUCUGGAAUGGGACCUGUCCCAGAAGUGUUUUUGCUGAUCUACUUGUAUCUAGUAUAGGCUUUGCUUUACUAUGUAAAUCUACAUUGCCCCCCCCCAAAACACACAAAACACCAAAAACGCCACCAAAAGAAAGGAUCAACUAAGCAAAUGCAUAUAUUCAUUUAGCCCAAUCCGCCAUAUUUUUUGUUUCAAGAAAGCUCCAAUGUGGUGGAGUACAACUGAACCACAUUCAAGAGUUCUAAGAGAACUUUCUAGUUUACAUUGGAUAUUAUGUGCACAUCAAAACUCCUUAAUCUCUAUUAACAAGAACAUGUUCACUAUCCAGGUUAGACACUCCAACAGGACUAGUAGCCUGCUUGCUUUACAGGUUUACAAUCAUAGCUGGUCUAUCCGCUUGAAAAUCAUUGAGAGCCUAGAUGAUCGUGAACCACACAGUAUAUCAAGAAAAAAAAAACACACACACACACACACAAUCACAGGUGCCUCUUUUUCCUUAGCACAAAAAAAAAUUCUGAUACAGAAAAAUUUAGAUGAGUUCGACAAAGAAAAAAGUGGAAUACAUCCCAACGUUCAAACACAUUUGCUUUAAAAACACUAAAGUUUUGGUUGACAUGAACAAGAUUUCAAGCACCUAAAUCAGUCUCAAGCAACUCAAUUGCAUUAAACAGGAAUCAGAUUUGGUGGAACCAGAUUUCAAGUGCCAUCAAGCAACUAAAUUGACAUCAAACAACCCAAUUGCAUUAAAAAUGAAGAGCAAACAAUUUAUUUAUACCUGACACAGAAGUUGCUUAUUUGCGCAAGUCUUUCAGCUGGUUAGCUAACUCAUCAUACAGGCUUCUUGUUUCUGUUUGUUGCUGUUGCAAGGUCUUAAUCAACUCUUGCUGAGCAGUGAAUUGUUGAGUUACUUCUGCAGCUCGUUUUUCUGCUUCAUCUGCUCUUUUUCGGCUGUCCUCAAUCUCAUGCCUCCAGCGUUCUACCUCAGCAGCUUGCUUCUUGGUUGCACUACGACCGCGGAUGUGUCCAGGUACGUAACCAAGUUCUUGCUCGCAUAUUUCUUUGCUAGUCAUUGAAGUUGUAGCCUGCAAUUCCCUCAUUUUGUCCUAGGCAAGUAAAAAAUAUGAUCAUUAUGUAGCUGGAAUGGAUGUCAAUAAUUUAAAAAUCCAUUAUCCAAGUGAAACAGCUCACCAAGGUCUCUUUUGCUUUGUCAUUUACCAGCCCCCCUGACUUCUUUGACUUUCGACUUAACUCAAACAUGACUAUCUCUGAAAGCUCGACAUCUUCUUUCCUUUUCUGUCCAAAUUUUCAAUUUUUUCAUUUUCAGUCAUAUGACAAAAAGGAUGUACAUGUACAACUGUUGGCUGGGUUUCAGAUUACCUUUUCCUCAACAACUCUUGCAAGCGAUUUUGUGCCAACAGUAGUGUAGCAGUCAUUUUUGGCACGAUUUUGCUUGUUACGUUCACUAAUUUUCUGCCACAAAUUAGUGAAAAUUUUAACUGACAAAGAUUAGCAAAUUUGUGAAGUGAAAUCUGAAAUUUAAUAAAAGGAUAGGUUAUUUUGACAAGCUAACCUUAAAUUCAUCAUUUUCAAAGUAGCUGACCAGCCACUUCCAAUCUUCUUCACUCACACCUUCAGGAACUUGCCUCAAUGCUUCUUGCCUUGAUUCAAAACUCUGGAAAUACUUGUGAAGCCGAUAUCGAUGGUUUCGAUAUUGUGUGUUUAACUGCCUAUUAAUAGCAGUUUUUGAGGUGAUGUGCUCUGGAAAUCGAAAGUCAUCCUACAAUAACAGUGCAAUCUACUUAAAACCAAGCAAAUCUAAAGCAGUAAAAUCUCUCAUACUUUCUGGAUGAAAUUAGAGUAUUAGCAGGACAACAAAUACCGUAACCGUGCUGUAUAUGCCUUCUCGGUCACCGGGAUUGAGAUGGGACCACUUUGGAACAUUAAGCCUAGCAGCCUUCCUAACAACACAACCCCCUUCUGUGAAAUGAAAGAUAACCACCGCUAAAUGUAUUAUAUAUAUAAACUAGAGAACUUUUAUCAUACAUUGUAAAAAAUUUUGGAUUUACCUUUAGUCUUUGCAAUUUUUACGAAACAAUGGCUUUCUCCAGUGGCUCCAAAAGUUUUAAUAACCAUUUCUUUUUAUUUUUUUGGUCCUAUGGGGGAAAGAAUAAACCAUUCUUUACAGCCAUAUAAACCCAAAAGGUCUAAAGAAAAAGCAAAAUUUCUGUUCGCUGGCAUUCUAACAUCUUGAUAACAAAAAUGAAAGAUAGGAGGCUUGGAUUGAGGACGGGUAAAAUCAUCUUGAAUUGUGCCUGGAACUCCAGGAAUAAUUGGAAAAGUCAUGCAUUUUUAAACACGUUAAUAUCAGGUUUAUGGGUUGAACUAGGUCUCUAGGAUUAUAACAAGGAUUAAUAUCUAUUUAAAUAUUACAGGUACAGAUAAGAACAUUUAUGAGUUAUCAGAGUUUGAAAAAGGUAAGAAAUUGAAAGAAGACUCCUUUCAAGAUUAAUCAAUCAAUUGACUCCAAAAUCCUCAUGAAUAAGAGUCAGCUUCUUCAAUGCAGAAUGAUCAGAGAUUACUCAACAGACCUAAAAGCUGCAAGGAAAAGACAGCACGUGCUUCAUUCAAUUCAAUCAACUCAGUUAUUUUAGACAGCAGAGUACCAGUUAUUAAUAGCUCUAGCAACAUUUUGGGUUCCCAAACAAUACGUCAAAACACUAAUAGGAAUUGUAACCAGAGUGAAGCAGACACCAAAUCUAACAAAGAAACACCAAUAUAAGGCACUGGAAUAAAUUCAACUACAGCAUCUGACUUAUCCAUGUAAUAAAAGACACAGGUGAUGAUCAAAUUUAAACAAAUGAUUGAUCUAUCAAUAUCUCUCCCCUCCAAAUGGAAAAAGCUAAUUAUGAAUGACAGGUAUCGCAUAUACUAUGUUAUGAACCUUGUGUAACAAAUUGCUAACUACUCGAAACAAAAUUUUUUACCGUUCGAAUCUGAACUUGAAUCUUCUAAUCAAAAUACAAUGCCAAACUCAGGAGGAUAAGCCUUGAUGGGUACCGACUACCAAGGUUGAAUCAAAAUUACUGCAUCUCUGAAGUCGGCGACACUAAAAUUCAGCAGAUCCAGGCGUUCGUGGGAAAGGUAUUGCAUCUCUUAUAUUAUCAAUACCAGUUGCAAAUUGCACUAACCUUUCAAAACCUAAGCCAAACCCAGCAUGAGGCACUGAAAAGCAAUUAAAGAACAAAACAGCAUGUUUAGUCAAGGUCAUUCAAAUUAACUCCACAAGGUACCCUGAAAACUAGCUUUCAAACUGAUUCCAUGCCAAGAGUGAAUGCAGCAUUUAAUAAGGCAGUGUAUUGGAACAUCAAUGAUAAAAAUUAGUAGCUGCAAGUUAUCAUCUGCCAUUUGAGACCAAGUCAAACCCCCCCCUUUUGGAAGAUUCACUAAUCACAAACGAAUAACAGGAGAAAAAGAACAACUAAAAAAUGUUGGCCUAAAUCAAUUACAACCCCCCCCCCGGGUGGCCUAAAUCCAUGAUUUCCUCAUCCGUACACAGAAAUUUCUCAAGAUACAAACUGAAAAUGCAACAUUUCAGAAGCCCAAAUUGCCUCGGAUAAUGGCAAGGAAAUGAAGCCUUUCGGGGGCAGGACAAAAGCCAUUGGAUAAUGAGCUAACAAAAAUAGGGGAAAAUUAAAAUGUAGGUUCGAAAAUGGCAAGGAAAUGAAGAACAAAGGGGGAAUACAGAUAUGAAAAUCUUAACUAUUACAAAAGAUUAACCAUUGUAUGACUAAACACACAUUGCACAACAACAUGUUAACGGCAAUUGAAACCCCAAAACAGUUUUCUGGCCAGUUCCCAAACGUGCAAAAUUCUAGUAAAGUGCAUGCUUGAUUACCAGAGAGAGAGAGAGAGAACCAGAGAGUAAAUUACAUUUAAAACAGCCAAAUAAAUUAGGCAAAUCAGUCAAGUUCUCUUCCCCUUAAGGAAGCAAUUAAAUGGCACGACAAAUUGUUUAAUUUCUCUUUCAUCCAACCAAAUUAAUGCAGUCAAAAAAUGUUCGCAUUUCAUAGCUCCUCAAAGAAAGCCGGUUCUGACCAUCCCUAACACUGUUCAUACUCCAGAUCGCAAGUGUUUCAGAGUAUUACCUUCCCCACUGCUAAUUAACAAUCUAGUUCAUAAAUUAGUCUUUACAAUAGAAGGCUGAGCAGCUUUUGAAAGCAAAAAAAAAAACACAUACCGCACAAUUAGCUGAAGAGGGGGUCGGAGAAAAGUCUAAGCUGAAGUCGCGGAACGAGGAGGGAGCUUGGAAGUGUUCUGACUUCGCUUCUUCGGCGAGCUUGACCUGAAGAUUGGCACUCGUCAAUGGUGCUUUAGAGGAGCAUUUUGCGGAAGCAGAAGGUGUUUGAGGUCCAGAGUUUUUCGGUGUUCACCAUAGAAAGGAAAGACUGAGAAUAAAAUUUGUCUAAGUGUUGGAAGAGAGAAGCGGCGAGACUUUUGUUUGUCUGUGAACAACCAAAAACGACGUCGUUUUGUAGAGAUUUCAGCCACCCGCCUCGCGCGUCUUUCAGAUUUCAGACUGGCGCUCUUUUUUUUUUGGAAUCUAAGCACGUCUUUGAGAUUCCAGGAUUCACGCCUUUAGCUUCAUACAUCUUUUUUCUUUUUUUUUUCCCUGGUCAAAUUUUUUUUUUCAGGUUUCUUUUUUCAUACUUAAUCUCUUUUGUUUUCCUUAAUCUCAUCUAUAAAUAUCAAAUAAAUUAUUUGAUAUUGGUUUCUUUUUUGUGCAUGUAUAUAUAUGUGUGCUUGUUUGUGUCUAUAUACAUCUUUUUGGGUUUGGACAACUCAAUAUACAAAUUAUUUAAGAAAUUACCUUACAAUAAAACUUACACAAUAAAACAUGUUUCAAAAAUUUAACAUGCAUAGAAUUGCUUAUAUACAGUAUAGCACUUCUUACUCAUGCUUAUCCUACUCUUUGUCUAUUACUUAGUUUUUAUAAUAAAUUAAAAGAAACAUGUAAUCAAAUAUUCUGUUAAAUGUGUUACAACUCUCAAUCUUAUUGCACGACAGAUAUUUUACUAAAUAAUUUUAAUUUUGUAUAUACCCAUUCCAUAUGAAAAUAUUUAUUACUUAUGAUGUAUUACACGUUAUACUAAUCUUUCACAGUGCUAACAUUAGACUACAAAUUAUAUUCAAUUAUACUUUUUCAAAUUAUUUCAGUUAUUGAUUUUUGGGGGUUGUUAUAAGUAAUAAUAAACAAUUCAUGAAAAAAAUUUUAUGCUCAGACAUGUCUAUUAUGUCAACUUAGCAAAAAUUACAAAUAUCUAAAACUAGUUUGUUAUUAUAUCAUUUGCAUUUUGCUAAUACAUAAUGAAUAGGGGCUAAAUUAUAAAAUUAGGGUGUCAUAUCUUCUGUGCUUUUGCUCAUAUAAAAGAAUUGGGGGCUAAAUAAUAAAAUUAGGGUGCCAUAGUAGAAUUAGUGAAAUUUGAUGAAAAUACUAUAGAAUUGCUUAUAUACAGUAUAGCACUUCUUACUCAUGCUAUCCUACUCUUUGUCUAUUACUUAGUUUUUAUAAUAAAUUAAAAGAAACAUGUAAUCAAAUAUUCUGUUAAAUGUGUUACAACUCUCAAUCUUAUUGCACGACAGAUAUUUUACUGAAUAAUUUUAAUUUCGUAUAUACCCAUUCCAUAUGAAAAUAAUUAUUACUUAUGAUGUAUUACACGUUAUACUAAUCUUUCACAGUGCUAACAUUAGACUACAAAUUAUAUUCAAUUACAUUUUUUCAAAUUAUUUCAGUUAUUGAUUUUUGGGGGUUGUUAUAAGUAAUAAUAAACAAUUCAUGAAAAAAUUUUUAUGCUCAGACAUGUCUAUUAUGUCAACUUAGCAAAAAUUACAAAUAUCUAAAACUAGUUUAUUAUUAUAUCAUUUACAUUUUGCUAAUACGUAAUGAAUAGGGGCUAAAUUAUAAAAUUAGGGUGUCAUAUCUUCAGUGCUUUUGCUAAUAUAAAAGAAUUGGGGGCUAAAAAAUAAAAUUAGGGUGUCAUAGUAGAAUUAGUGAAAGUUGAUGAAAAUACUGUAGUAUACAGUGAUGCAAAAAGUUGUCACAAAAUUGGAACCGGGUAGACUUUCAAUGACAACAAGUUAUGUUGUCACUGUAGAGAGAGCGUUUGUGACGACUUUACUUGAGUUGUCAUAAAAUCAUUUCCCGCGGCAUCAAAUGAGAUGCGCCCCAACUAUUUCGUGACGAGUUGAGAAUGACAACUUCCAAUGUUGUCACUGAUUAUGCUUGUGCUGUACUCAUCUGUGAUGACACCUAAUGUCGUCACUGAAUUAGGUUAUCUGUGACAAGAUUUUUGUUGUCACAUAAAUUUUUGUCACUGAAAAAUAUAUUUCUUGUAGUGAUGAACUUCAAUUUUGAACACUUUACACCUUAAACUCUUAAUUUCAAGCACUUUGUACCCUAAAUUCUUAAAUUUAUUUCAUUUAAUUUCAAUCAAUUAUUAUAUUGAUAAAAUUAAUGAGAUAAAGGGAGGUAAAAAUUAAUAGCAAUGUACUUUUGUUAUUAUAUUCUUAAAUUUGUUAUUGUAGUUUAUCAUGAUUUUCUUCAGGAAAAGACUUAAACCCACCUGCAAAGGCUUAAACCCCACCUGCACUAGGGUACAACAAACAAAGGUGAGUUGGAUAUACUUCCGUACGACUGCAGAACUCAUUUACACAAUGCGAUUUUGAUGCAGCAAUAAGAAAUUAUAUCAAACUUGAAAUCAGUCAUCCUUUGGGGCUCUAUAAAUACCAUCCUCCCUGUCAGUUACGGACACAUUCCUGCCUAGCUACUUUUAGUUUCAGCCAAACUACAUAUUCAUACCUAGCUGAACUGAAAUUAAACUUUCCAUGGCAUACCAGAGCGCCUACAAUAUGAAUUACCAGAUACUACUAUGCUUGAUACUCUUCUCCCUAGUCCUUCUCCUGCCACUGCCAUCCCAUUCUGCUGAUCCAAGCCCAUUGCAAGAUUUCUGCGUUGCAGAUCUUGAUUCCUCUUUAUACAUUAAUGGCUUUCCGUGCAAAAACCCUGAUAACGUAUCUUCACAAGAAUUCUUCGCCAAUGGGUUCCAACAAAGUCCAGGAGAAUUCAAUAUUUUUGACGUCAAUGUCACUCGCCAAGAUGUUCAGCGAUUUCCCUGACUCAACACUCUAGGGCUGUCAAUGAACCGAGUGGUUUUGAAGCCUGGAGGGCUGAAUGCACCCCACGUCCACCCUCGUGCAGCCGAGCUGGCUCUAGUCAUGGAUGGAAAACUGUUUGUAGGCUUUGUGACAACCGGAAAC